Molecule: long non-coding RNA, 51740 nt
Filed under: Arachis ipaensis
Lineage: Eukaryota; Viridiplantae; Streptophyta; Magnoliopsida; Fabales; Fabaceae
Description: long non-coding RNA (AIPA_LNC002591)
Source: RNAcentral
AAUAGAAUUGUAAAAAAUUAGCAUGAAUUUUACUUGUGGAGAGUUUUGGAUACAAGUUAUAUCUAUAGGGUUGGAGACCAACACAAAUUUUAGCAUUAGUUUAUAUAACAAAUUGUCGUUACAUUAAGGACCAAAUACAUAGUCAUUACAUUCAUAAGCUAACUGCAUUUUUAGCCAAAACUAACAAUAGUUUCCUUGAGAUUGGAAUUCUGUUGCUAUAAAUGUUGCAAGGAAGGGAAGAAUUAAAGAUUUGUAAAAUGUACUCCAAGUCAAACACGGGGUCAAUUAAUUUUUAAUAUAAAAUUUUUUUAACGAGGAUAAUGCUAACUUUUAUUCCAUUUUUAAAGUUAAUUAUGUUUUCAAUGUUGUACUGAUAUUACAGAAUAACACGGCUUAAGAACUCCUAAACAAUUGCCUUACGGCGGCGUUGUCGACGACAAAUAUGAACAUCAAGCACCAGAUCUUUUCUAUUGAUGAGCUUAAACAAACAAACAUCUCCGGCUUGUAAUUUACUAGCUCGAGCAAAAAAGUUCCAACCAGAAGAGAUAAAGGCAUCACAUGAUGAUGGCCUAUAGAUUAACAACUUCUUUCCAAACCUUAUAAUUGCAUUUUGGGGGUUAUUUUCAAAAUAUUUUCGGAAGAAUUUAGUUGGAAAGUACCGCAGCACAUCAUAUUUAUGUCAUCAUAGUUAGAAAUAAGACACAAAGUUUGGAAGAAUAAUAGCACAUGGAAGUUCACGAUAUAUAAUUUUCAACAUGGAUAUAUGUAUUAACCUAUACUUACACAUGGUGCUCUCGUUUGAGACAGUUGCGUUAUCUUGAUGAUGAAAGAGGGCUUUUCUCACUUAAACUUCUUAGCUUCUUUCAGAGAUUCAGGUCUUAUAGGACAGGGCCUAACAGGAGAUUCAGAAUCUUUUCUUCUUCUAUUCUUUUUACCUUGUACAUAGGAAACAAAGAAUCAGAAACUACCACUGUAAUGUACAAAAAACAGUUGCAAGUUGUAACUCAAAAACAACGGUUGAAUCCACAAAAGGAAAGGUUGAUCUAAUUAUGAAACACAUACCAUUAGAAUCUUUAUUGACAGACACUGGCAUCUCAUGGUUUUUUUCUUUAGAUUUAAUACCGUGCGAAUUGAGGCUUCUUUCCACAUCCCUGAUUUGUGUGUCAUUUUCCAACUAUCUACCUUUAGAAGCAGAUGACACUAGUGCUCUCAGUUUUUUCCUCGGUUGGCCCUGGACUUCUCUUGGCAAUGGUUCAUUCAAUCUUUUCUUCAGCAGUCCCUCGUUAAGUCUCAUGUUUUGGGUGUUGGGACUACUAUCCACAUCUCUAGUUUUUUGUUCUUCUGGCCUUUUCACCGGCUGCUGACUCCUGCGUGGCAGCUGCUCUUUGAUCUGAUCAUUGGCAAAUAUGUAUACUUCCAUGUGAGAAGUUCCAAUAUUAUACUCAAACCAUAACAAAUGGCGAUGAUCAAGAGAGUAAUAUGCAACAAACUCUUUCCAACCAUUUUUAAACAAAAUCCCACCAUCAUGAUUAAUCCACUCUACUAUCCAUUCAGUACCAUCCGGAGGCUUAAGAUACAAUAGGUUUAAUAGGACAGAACCAUAUUUUUCAGUACUUCUGCAAUAUUAUGAACCUGGUGUUAGCAACCAUAAUAACAAUAAGGUGACACACAUUAGUAUGUCUUCACCAAGAUGUUGACAUGUAUUAUGUUAAAUAGUUUAGACAAAUAUAUCAAACUAUUUAACGAUUUUCGGCUAUAUCUUUGUAUACUAAUAACAUUAAACUCCUAAUUCGUCCUUCACUAAUAAUUAUAAAUAGUGCAGUAAAAUAGUCCAAACAUAUUAGUCCUAAAUUUUGUAUGUAGAUAAAGAUUAAUCUUUCACCUAUUUUAAAGGAGAGACUAAUUUCAAAUUUUAAAGGGCUAUUUUGCAGCAUUGUUUGCAUAUUUAGAGACUAGGAGUGAAAUAAAAAAAUAUUAAAAAACAGGAUUGUCCAACAUGAAAAUUGGUAGGGACCAAAUCAGUAAUAACAAAAUUAAAACUCAUGCAUAACGAAAAAUGACGAUGAAUAUAAUAAUUUUUCAAAUCACCGCAAUAUGUCCUAUAAUAUUUCCUAAUCUUAAUUAGUGAAAGUUUUACCAGAUCAUUUUUCAUUAACAAUAAUGUAGAUUUAAUCGUAAUUAAUUUUGUAGUAAGAAUACAUACGGAGUACAUAAAAUGAUGUAACCACCUAACAAAUAUGUUUUUAGGUUUUCAUUCAUCUUAUGUAUUUUUUUAUUUUUUCAUGUACUUCUGCUACAAAAUUAAUUAUAAUUAAUCCUACAUUAUUGUAAAUAGAAAAUGAUCUAAAUAAUAAGAAGAAGAAGUUUACUAUUACUAUAUUUGCAGCUAAGAAGCCAUGCAUGUGUGUUGUUCUAUGAAGAAAAUGUUUAUAAAUGAGAAAAAUUAUAUAUAGAGGAAUAAAGAGAGAAACUUUUUGUUAAAUAAACAAUAUCUCAAAAGAUAAACAGAUUAAAAGAAAAAGAGGGGAUGGAGAAGACGAGAGAAAAUGCUCACAAAGUCAUCAUCUUGAAGAGCUUGUCUGAGAACAAUCUUAAAGAAAGAAAUCACAGUAGAAGUAGAAGGAGAAUACUUGUUUUGUUGACAGCUAGAGGAAGCCAUAGUAAACGGAUGAUGUAUGGAUUUGACUAUUGUUGAGGUUCAGAGUCUCUCUCACCCGGUAUUCCUUAAAUAAACUUAUUUUGGGAUAACAAUUAAAUUAAAAAAAAUAACAAGUGAGUACUAAAAUAAGUUAUAUAUAUAUUUUAAUUUAUUUUUAAUAUAAAUUUUAUAUUUUUAUAUGUAUUAUAUAUGUAUAAAUAAUUUUAAUAUAUAUUUAAUAUAAUUUAAUAAAUUAAAAGAAAAGUUAGGACCGAUUCCUUCAUAAUUGAUUGCAAAGUUAUACAGCGUUAAUUGAUAAUGGUGUUAUUAGAGAGACAAUAAAAAAAAUAGUCAAAAUUUAUUUUAUAAUUAUUUUUGUCUAUUUUUUUUUUUGCUAUCAAACAUUUUUGAAAUGAUAAUAUGAAAUGCCAUUAGACAAGCUAAAUAAAAGGAGAAGAUGCUCAUUGAAAAAAAUAAAAUAGAAGCAUAAUGAAAUAGCACGAUGAAUGUUAGUACAUAGAAUAAAAGGUAAAUACUAAGGAUCAAUUGAGUUAAGUUAGGCUUGAUUUGAUAAAAUUUUUAUUUUUUAAAAAUAAUUUAUAAAAAUUAGUUUUUAAAAUUAAUUUUAUUUUUGAAAAAUUUUACUAAACCAAAUCUUAGUACGUUUGAUAAUAGAUUAUUACUUACAAAGAUAUCGAAAAAGACAGACAAAGGUGUUAGAUAAUUAAAUCAAGAAUAUUUAAGAAAAAUAAAAAUACAACAUCUUAAAACAUUGAAAAAAUUCGAAUCAAAUUGAAUUGGAAUUGGAAACCAAAUUGUAUCUUAAAUUAGAAGGUGGUAGAAACGGAUAAAAAUUCAAGUUAUUUUUCUGGUGCAAGACAACACAAUAUUUAUGAAGAACGAAGAAUCAUGAUUGGAAGUUUCAAGUUGAUGACUAAAUUUGAAGGAUUUGAAGUAAAUUUGAAUAAAUAACUUGACUUGUAAAAGUUUUUAUUAACUUCAUGAAAUAUUACAAGUGUAUUUAGUUGUUAUAAAAAUUAUUAUUUUAUUAUGAAACUUUGCCUAUAUAAAGGCUUGAACACAUGUACUUUAAUCAUAUCUUCAUAUGAACGAAAAUGCAUUGAGUUGUUAAUGUUGGGUCGUCUGGUCCUAAAUUAAAUGAAAAACUUGAUUAUUAAGAGACUUUGAUGUCUAUCUAUUUGAAGGUUUAGAUCCUAUGGAACUUUAUUGAAUUGGAUUUGCAAGAAGGAGUUGAUGUUACCCAAUAGAGAAAAAAUCAAUUAGCAUGGUCUCAAAUUUACCAAAGUGUAUAUUAUACAAUGUUUUGCAAAAUAGCAAAUGCCAAAAGUGUAAAAGAAGCAUAAAACACGUUGAAACUGUCAUACAAAGACAUAGGUAAAGUCCAAAAAGCAAAGUUAUAAUUUUUGAGAAGAGAAUAUAAAAGAUAUGAGAUGUCUAACUCAGAAAUUGUUAAGCAAUAUUUUUCUUGUGUUACAAAUAGAUAAAAGUAUGAAAAAUAUUCCCAGUAGCAAAGUGGUGAAAAAAUCUUUUUGCAUUAUGCUGAUGAAGUAUGGUCAUAUGGCGACUACAAUAUUAAAGUCCCACAAUAUGGAUACUAUGACGAUUGCAGAGUUGUAAGGAACCAUGGAAAGUCAUAUUAGCAUAAUAUUAGAGAAGUUAGAAAAAUCAAUUGAAGAAGCCCUGAAAAGUCGAGUGAAUUUAAACAAUGGUGCAGAAUCAAGCUGUACACAAGAUGGACGAGACCGUACUUUCAAUUUUCAAAGUAAAGGUAGAGGAAGUUCCAGAGACAGAGGUCGUGGCAAUUAUAGCCAUGGAAGUUAUAAUAAUUUUACACCACCUAAUCAAGAAAGAGGUGGAAUAAAUUCCAGGUUUGUCAACUAAAGAAGAAAUCGAGACAAUUUUUAUCAAGAACGAACUAAUUUCUACUGCUUUCAUUGUGAAAAGUAUGGACACAAAGUGGUAGACUGCAAAAUCAAAAUAAUGAAUAAUAAUCAAGCACAUGUUGCAGAAAAUUAACAUCAAAAUACUGAUGAUAAUCCGAAUAUCAAACUUUAUUUUUUACAUGUAACUCAUAUGCUGAAGAUAAAAAUAUAUGAUACUUGGAUAAUGGUUGUAGUAAUCAUAUGUCUGGUAGAAAAAUUCCUAUUGAAGUUUGGUAAUAGUAGAAAGAUUCCUAUUGAAGAAAAAGAACAAAUACCAAUUAGAUUGAAUGAUUGUUCUCUGAGUUAUAUUUUUGAUAUUUUCUAUACUCCUAAACUUGAUUACAAUUUAUUGAGUACGAGGCAGUUAUUUGAGAACGGAUAUAAAAUAAUUACAUAUAGUGGAUAUUUGCAUUAUAUUUGACAACAACAAAAGGUUCAUAGAUAAAGCAAAGAUGACUUCAAAUAAAAUGUUUCCAUUGAAAAUUCAACAUGUUAAUCCUUCUUGCAUGAGUUCUGUAAUAAUUUAUGAUAGCUGAGUGUGGUAUAUUCAGUUUGUGCAUUUUUUUCUGACCUAAAUUACCUGUCAAGAAAAAGACUUAUUUCUGGUCUGCCACAGAUUCAUAUUCCUAAUUGUGUUUGUGAAAUUUGUCAACUGAAAAAGAAGCACAAAAAUCUAUUUACUACAGAAAAGUCAUGAAGAACUUGAAGAUUACUUGAAAUUGUGCAUUCAGAUCUUUGUUUUGUUAAGAUUCUAAGGUACUUUAUCACUUUUAUUAAUGAUUUUAGUAGAUAUAUACGGAUAUACUUUCUAUUGUUAUAAAGCAUACUCAUAUUUUAGUAUAUAGAAAGCAUACUCAUGUAUGUUGCAACAAUGAUUCAUAUUUUAGUAUAUAGCAGGUAUCCAAUGAAAGAUGUUCGUGAUAAAACUUCGAAGGAAGUUUGGAGUGAAAAGAGGUCUUUCAUUAAUCAUUUUCAGAGUCUUUCAGUAUAUUGCUUAUGCCCAUGUUCUAUAUCAAUCAAGAAAGAAGUUAGAUGACAAAGGCAAAACGUAUAUCUUUAAUGGCUAUAGCACAUACUCAAAAACAUACAAGUUGUAUAAUCUAGAAUCAAAGAAGGUGAUCAUCAGCAAAAAAUGUGACAUUUGACGAGAAAGAUAUUUGAGACUGGAACAGAACGACAGAAAAGUAGCCGAUUAUAAUUCCAAAUUCAUGUGAUGAAGUAGAAUAAAGACAACCUAACAUAACUAAACAACUAAAAUCAUCUAUAAGACCUCUAGAAAAUAUAGACUACCUGCUAGAUUGGCAGAUUAUGAAAUUGGCAGUGAUGAUGAUCCAUCCGAUGAAGAAAUUAUCAAUUUUGCUUUACUUUCAAAUUGUGAGCCAUUAAACUUUGAAGAAGUCUCUAGAGGCAACAAUUGAAAAAAAAUAAUAGAUGAAAAGAUUCAUGCCAUUGAAAAGAAUUUGGAGCUGAUAGAUUUACCAUUAGAUAAGAAGUCAAUUGGAGUAAAGUGGAUUUACAAAACUAAGUACAAUCCCAACGAUGAAAUUGAUCGUUUUAAAGCAAGAUUAGUUGCUAAGGGAUAUAAACAAAAAUCCAGUAUUUACUACUUUAAAGUAUUUGCUCCUGUUACUAGAUUAGACACUAUCCAUAUUAUUAGUUCGCUAUCGGCUUAAAAUAAAUUAAAAAUACAUCAAAUGUAUAUUAAGUCUGCAUUUUUAAAUUGCACUGAAGAAGAAGUGUAUGCUGAGCAACUUGCAGGAUAUGAAAUUCCUGAAGAAGAAGAAGAAGAAGAUAAAAUUUAUCGAUUGAAAAAAGUUUUGUAUAGGUUGAAGCAAGCACCAAGAGCGUGAUACAAGAAGAUUAUUUAUUCUUUUUUCACUCAGAAGAUGUCCAUUUGAACAUACUCUUUAUAUAAAGUUUGUUGAAUCUGGAUAAAUCUUAAUCGUGUGCCUUUAUAUUGAUGAUUUGAUCUUUACUCGCAAUAAUUUGAAGAUAAUUGCAGAAUUCAAAAAGACUAUGAUAAAACAAUUUGAAAUGACAAAUAUGUGCUUGAUGUCUUACUUCCUCGACAUCAAAAUCGUUUAGAAAGAUGACAGAAUCUUUAUUUCACAUCCAAUUUUUUCUUUCUAAUUCAAUAAAACAAACUUAAUUAUAUAGUUGCUAUUUUUUAAAAUAUAUUGACGUUCUUCUUCUUCUCUUGCUAUUAUAUCUUGUUAUUUUUCUUUUGUAGUGUAUUACUUAAUCAUGAUCAUAAUACAUGCAGCAGGUUUAAUUUGCAUGUUUGUUGAUUGGAUGUCACGGAAGCAAGUUUUGUCCUGAGCCUUCGUUUUUGGAGAAUCUGGGAAAAGUAAGACACAUGCUUUGGAACAAUAAUUUUGACCGAUAACUCCAAAGAUAAGAAAGAUAAAAAAAAUUAGCUUCUUAAGUUGUUUUGCUUUUAUGUAUUUUAUAAUUUUUGACCCUCUCCUUGCUUGUGAUGCUUUUAAGAAUUUAUAGAGCAUGAAAGAUAUUUGAUAUGAUUGUACUCCCAUAUCUUCUAAUUCAUUUCUUCAUUUAUUUAAAAACUUUUGAUAGAUUAAAAAGUGACCGUUGAUGCUUUAUACCUUCAUUUCUUCUUAGCUUCUUCUCUUGCUAUUAUAUCUUGUUAUUUUUCUUUUAUACAUGCAGCAGGUUUAAUUUGCAUGUUUGUUGAUUGGAUGUCACGGAAGCAAUUUUUGUCCUGAGCCUUCGUUUUUGGAGAAUCUGGGAAAAGUAAGACACAUGCAUUGGAGAAAUAAUUGAUCGAUAACUCCAAAGAUAAGAAAGAUAAAAUAAACGGUUUUGUUAUAUUACCAACAGCAUAUCUGCUAAUUUCUGCCAACUCUUAUUUAUAAUUGUGUUUUAUGGAAGUGUGUUCGUAGAUGUGUUUAAUAAAAAUAUCUUUUUUAUAGCAAUGUUUAAUAGAAAUAUUUUUAUAGAUAUAUUUUUUAGAUGUAUCUCUUUAUAUAUGUAUUUAAAAUAUAUUAAUUAUUAGCACAUCCACAAACACACUUCCAUGAAACACAAUUAUAAAUAAGAGUUGGCAGAAGUUGAUAGAUAAUAUGUUGGUACCUUAUACUUUUCCAUAAAAUAAAUAGGUACGUGGUCUUCAUGCACUAGUUUAUUAUGGUGUUGACUUGUUGUACAAUACCUAAUUAACUACACCAACACUGUAUGAAGAGAAUGGCAACAAUCUUUUCAAAUUUGUUUAUGUAAACUGCAAACACAUUAACGAUCAUUUUUAAAAUAUAAUUCCAAUAAAAUACAAUUAUAAAGAAGAUAUAUAAUAAUUAAAAUAAAUUUACCAAUUAAAUCCUAUAAUCUAAAUUUAAUUCAAUAAGUUGGUUAUUUACAUGAUAUUUUAGACAAUUAAAAAUAUUUUAAAUAUUUUCACGUAACAUUAUUUAAAUAUUGCAACUUAAUUAUUUGUAUUUUGUUGUAUAUAUUGUUAUUAAAUGCUUAUAAUUAAUUAUGAGAGCAUCUUCAAUAUUAGUUUUAAUUCCUCAUUUAAAUUUUUAAUGUAUUUAUUUUAUAGUUACUAAAUAAAAAUAUUUAAAUUUUUUCAUUAAUGACAAGCUUAUCAUGUAUUUUUAAGAUACAUAUUAGCAAAUUUUUUUUUUAAUAGGUGAACCGAUGAUUUCUUUUAAUGAAUAUUACAUGAUAAAAUGAAAAAAAAUUCAAAAAUUUAAAAUAUACCUAAUAUUGCAUACGUCUAUUUUACAUCAGUUUUUGAAGUGUCACUUCUCUUCUCGAGACUUUUUUUUUGUUUUUGUCUUAACUGUACUAUUCCUUUGCUUAGUAUUUUCUAAUUUUUGGCGCUUAUAUAUUUUUUAAUUGUUGGCCCUCCCCUUUACUUUUGAUGCUUCUUAAGAAUUUACAGAACAUAAAAAUAUUAGGAGUGGAUUCUCUUUAGUGAAAAAAAAAUUGGAUGAUAUCCCGUGAAAGAUCUCAUCUUUUAUUGCAUUCUCUCUCUCAUUUAUUUUUGGUCCCACUUGAAGAAUUAAAGGUGGGAGAUUACACUGUAUUCUCUCCAGUGACAAAAAAAUGGAGAGGAUCCAUUAACGAAGUGGGUGUUAAUGUGUUUUUUUUUUUUUCAAAAAUCAGAUAAUUUCAUUCAUAAAAUAAAAGAAAUAUAUAAAUGUCCAUACAUACAUAAGACAAAUAAAAGAAAUAGAGAACUUCCAACAUUUUACUAUAGAGAUAACAUGUAAUAAUUUAAUAAGAGAAAUAAAAAGUUAAAGUGUUUAUUAAUUAAGAAGUGGGAAUUUGUUGAAGUUCUUUCAACAGCUUCAAAAUCGAUAUUAUUAUCUCUUUCACACUGAAAUUGAUACAUUAUCAAAGAUGAAGCCGUUACUAACCUUCCACAACGACCAGCUUCGUUCGACGGAUAAUUUCAUUAUUGAUGUUCCGGAAUGGAUCCUCUCAAUUGUUGAAACAAAUUGAGGGAGUAAAGUGUGAUCUAUAACCCUUUAAUACAUACUUUCUCAUAUUUUUUUUUGGUUCUACUUAUAAUAAUUAAUGGUGAGAGAUCACACUUUAUUUUCUCAAUUGUUAAAAAAAAAUUGAGAAGAUCCAUUUACAUUGAUGUUCGGUGAAUGAUUCAAUGGUCUUGCAUCUUUUUUCACCAAAUUGGUGAAAGAUAACCAUUCUUUUACGCUGUUGCCUGUUGGGUACUUGGAUCUUGGGCUCAAUCCUGUUCGAAACCAUUAAGCCUUAUAAUAUCCCAUUUAUUGAAGUCCAAUUAUCCUGAUAGUUUUAAAAUAGCAUAAAAAUAUUUUUUGGGUUAAAAUAAACAUAUUGAAUUAGUGAAAUAUGAUGUAAAAUGUUAAAAUAAAUUAUUAUUUUGACCCGCAAAAAAUAAACCAAAAACAAAAGAAACAAUAUUUUUAUUUUUUAAAAUUAAUUUUAGUUUGACAAAAUAUACAUUUUGGGGAUAAAUAACAAAUAAUGCAUGUAUUUAAUUCAACUUUUUGUUGGGUCAUUUAAAAAGUUAUUUGGAAAGUAUAUAUAAAAAAAUUAAUAAAUUGAUUUUUUUUUACUAUUUUUUAAUUUUUUUUAAUAUUUUUUCAGUCAUGUAAAUGAUAUAAACAAAUAUUUAAAAUAAAAUGACCAAAUUAAAAAGAUAAUUUUUUAAUCUUUAAACAGAUUUACAAAAAAAUAUAUUGAUAUUUAUAAAUUAUGAGAUAUAUGACAUGUUUUAAAAAUUUGUCAAAUUAAAAUUAUAUUUUAAAAAUAAUUAUGAGAUACUUGAUAUGUUUUGAAUUUUAUCAAAAAUAUUUCUACAAUAAGAGAGUAUAGUGCCAAAAUAAUUAUUGUAUAAAGAUUCAUUAUGCUGCAAAACCUUUGUUAUUUCUUUGUUUAUUACUUUCAUUGAAUAAUAAUUUUGUGGAAUAAAUUUUUGAUAUCCUCGCUAUGCUUGUUUUUUAAGAAAAAAUUACUAUUUUUUCUAUGAAAAGAAUUCAUUUUUGAUAAAUAAUUUUUAAAAAAAGGAAUGACAAAAAAAAUAUAAUGCUAUUCUAAAAUUAUUAGUUUUUUUGGAUGAAAAAAUUUAUUAGGCUAAUUGGGCUUUAAUAAAUGGGCUAUUAUAAGGCUCAAUAGUUUUUAAAAAAGAACUGAACCAAAAAACCUAGCGGUGUAAGAGAAUAGUUAACUUUCACCAACGUUGGUGAAAAAAGAUGCCGGACCAUUGAAUCAUUCACCUUGAUGUUCUUCUUCUCUUGCUAUCAUAUCUUAUUAUUUUUCUCUAACAGUUUUUUUUUGGACAUUUUUUUCAACAGGUUUAAUUCGCAUGUUUGUUGAUUGGAUGUCAUAGAAGCAAUUUUGUUGAAGUCCAAUAAAAAAUAUUGAGCCUUCGUUUUUGGUCUUCAGGAAUAUUGGGCUAUAUUGGCCAGACUUCUUCUAUUUUUCUUUUAAUUUUUCUGUUUUGUUUUUUUGGUAUCGAUAGAACUGAAUGUUUUUUAUACAGAAUAAUAAGUGCAAACUAAACUAUCAACUACUCUCUUUUUUUUUUUUGGAAAAUAUUAUCUUGGAUCGGACAAAAUUUGGUGUUCACUCACACGAACAUUGAAAAAAUUUGAAAUUAAAUUUAAUUAAAAGUAAAAAUUAAAUUAGAUAGUAAAAACUACAAGAAUGUAAGUUAUUUUUUUAAUGCAAGAUAACAUAAUAUUUAUAAAAAAAUGAAGAAUUAUAAAUGAAUUGAAAGCUUCAAGUUGAUGACUAAACUUAAAAAAUUUAAAGCAAAUUUAAAUAAAGAAUUUAACUAGUCAAAAUUUUUACUAAAUUCAUGAAAUAUUACAAAAUUCAUAUGAAUGAAAAUAUAUUAAGUUAUUAGAACUUCUCUUAUCUUUUGUGAAUGUGUUAGUGAAUUUAAAAAAUAAAAAAUAUAAUAGUAUUAUUUAAAUAAAUGAAUAAUCUGAAAUUAAUAGUGUAGAUAUUAUACUUAAAAAAAUAGAUAUAAGAUAGAAUAUGUGUAAGUACAUUAUAAAUUUAUGGUUUAACUUUUAUUCUACUUUGUUUAUUGUUUUGUGUUUUGUGUUUUGUAUUUUAUUUUAUUUUUUAUAACAUAUUUCACUUAUAACUGUGUUAAAUCUUUACUUAAAAAAAAUAUGAGAGUAAUUAAUUACAUUUUAUCAUUAAUUAAUUGAUAAUAUGAGAUAUGUCAUUAACUAACCUUAUUUGGAAAAAAAAUUGAACUUUAAAUAGGAGGGUUUGAUCAUUAGAUAAAAUUAUAAAAUCAAUUUGAUUAUUUUCUCCAUUUAUAGACCAAAUUGAUUAUUAGAUAAAAGUUGGAAACUAAUUUAAUUAUUAUUCAAUUUAGUCACCAAUUUAAAAUAUUUUAUGUUAUUAAAUUUCAAUAUAUGUUUAAUAACUUACGAUUAGAAUAAUCAAAUUUUAACUGCUUUGUUAAAAUAUAAAUUGAUAUAUUCACUACAAGAAAUACUAUUAUAAUCGAGGGCCAAAUCGAUGACAAAAACAUCGAUAUAUUAAAAAUCGAUGGUAAAAUUAACAGCACUAGCCAUCGCUUUAAAACGGGUAGAUUUUUUUAAAAUAUAAUAAGAUCGACGGCUCCUCAAAUUGUCAAUAAACUUUCAAUAAAAUCGACAACCAUUGUGUCGAUAAUAUAAGAUUACGAUUUUUACAUACUUAAAAAAAGCGACACCCAGGCUGUUGAUAAUAUUAUUUAAAAUCGACAACCUAAGUGUCGAUAUUUAAUUUAUUAAAAUUGACAAAUUAACUAUCGAUUUAAUUAUUAAAUUACCGAUAACAACAUCGUCUAUUUUCCUUUUUUUUGUCUAUUUUAAAUUAAAAAUUGACAACAUUGCCUUUUAUUUUUGUCUAUGUUAAAUUUAAAAAUCGACAAUAAUGCCGUCGAUUUUAAUAACCAAAUUUUUUUUUUAGUUUUUUACAUUUGAAANNNNNNNNNNNNNNNNNNNNNNNNNNNNNNNNNNNNNNNNNNNNNNNNNNNNNNNNNNNNNNNNNNNNNNNNNNNNNNNNNNNNNNNNNNNNNNNNNNNNNNNNNNNNNNNNNNNNNNNNNNNNNNNNNNNNNNNNNNNNNNNNNNNNNNNNNNNNNNNNNNNNNNNNNNNNNNNNNNNNNNNNNNNNNNNNNNNNNNNNNNNNNNNNNNNNNNNNNNNNNNNNNNNNNNNNNNNNNNNNNNNNNNNNNNNNNNNNNNNNNNNNNNNNNNNNNNNNNNNNNNNNNNNNNNNNNNNNNNNNNNNNNNNNNNNNNNNNNNNNNNNNNNNNNNNNNNNNNNNNNNNNNNNNNNNNNNNNNNNNNNNNNNNNNNNNNNNNNNNNNNNNNNNNNNNNNNNNNNNNNNNNNNNNNNNNNNNNNNNNNNNNNNNNNNNNNNNNNNNNNNNNNNNNNNNNNNNNNNNNNNNNNNNNNNNNNNNNNNNNNNNNNNNNNNNNNNNNNNNNUCGAUUUAAUUAUUAAAUUACCGAUAACAACAUCGUCUAUUUUUCUAUUUUUUGUCUAUUUUAAAUUAAAAAUCGAUAAUAUUACCGUCGAUUUUUGUCUAUAUUAAAUUUAAAAAGUGACAAUGAUGUCGAUUUUAAUAGCCAAUUCUUUUUAUUUUUUCAUUUGAAAUAGCAGAUAAUUAAUACAAAUAAACUUUUAAAUAUAGAAAUAAAUUUUAUACUAAAUAUUAGAUAAUGAGAGAAAUAAAUUUUAAAAUAUAGAGAUUAAAUUUAUUCUAAAUAUUAGAUAAGAUAAUGAGUUUGCAAACUUAUCAAGAUAAUAAAUAAUCCUCUAAUAUAAAGAUUCAAGAUAAGAUAAAUAAUUAAAUUUAAAUUUAUAUUCAUUUAAUCAUAAUCCACUAAUAAUACAACUGGUAUACCCUAUAAUACAAGUACUGGUACACGAAAAUUUUAAAUUGCAAUAAAAAAAAGUGCAAAAAAUGGCUAUCUGUUGGCAGUUUAAAAUAAACCUUAGAAACAUUGAAGUAAAAAGUUUUUAAUUUUGAAAUUAUUAUUGACUAUGUAAAAUAUUUUAUUUAAAAUUUGAGUACAUGCAUGUAUUUAUUUAAGUCACUGAAACAUUACAAAUUUUUAUAGUACUUUUAACAUUUUUUAAAUUAUUUUUUUAAAUGUUUUGCAUGGAAUAAAAUAUUUUUUUGUGAUAUAAUUUAAAUAAAUUUAUUAAAAAAAUUAAUAAUCUAAAAUAAAAAAAUUUAUAUUUUAUAUUCCAUGAAUUAAAAAAAAACUGAACUCGAACUAUAUUUAUAGGACAUUCAUUGAUAAUUCGAAUGAGACCAAAUUGAAUUACCUUCGGCUGCUACUUGGUGGUAAUUCCAAUGAGUUCACUUUAAAUUAGAGCUGUAUUCACAUGCAUGUAAUUCGAUUCACCCUCAUUCGAAUUACUAAGACAUUUUGUUCAUGCAUAAUUCGAAUUGUACUGCUUUAAAUUAGUAUUGAAUUUUAUAAUUCAAUGAGUCUCGUUCGAAUUACAUAAAAAUACUUGGUAAAUCCUUGUAACGUUUAUUGUUUUGGUAGAUAUGUGUAAUAUUGGCUUCAAUUGAUUUAUAUAUGCAUCUUGCCUUAUAAAUAACUAAUAAUAUAAAUAUAAAUAUAAAUAUAAAAUCUAUCAACAUUUGUGAUUUUCAAAAAUAUAAAUAUAGAUAAGUAAUAAUAAAUUAUUAAUCACAAUAUAUAAUAAAUUAUAAAAUAUACAUAAAUAAUUAAUAAAAAAACAAUCAAUCAAAUACUACUUACUAAAUAAAAAAAUCUUACAUGAUCAAUUGAUAUUCUAUAGAUCACAUGUUGGUCAUGCUACCUAAUCAAUUUGUAAUAUUUAUCUAUCAUAAAAAUACAUACCUGCAUUCAUAUGCUGAAAAAAUUUCAGUGCAUGUAUGGUCUGCAAAUUCAACGACCGCAAGAAAGUAGGCUCUACAAACGUAUGCUGGUUUACUAGUGCAUUUGCCACCUCUGCCACAUCUGCCUCCAUAGUGCCGUUAGCCUGAUCUUUGUCUCCACCUGGAUCAACGAUCUCAUAGUUACUUUCAAGCUUCUCCUCGAUGAACGAUAUCUGUGAGGGAGUUUCCAUAUACACUGAAAACAUAUGUUGCAUGCUCGCUUCAUCGGUUACAUAUUUGGUUUGAAACUGAAUGAACCCACCAAAUACGGAUAUAGGAUACCUGUACAAAAUGCACGACACUCUCCUAGAUAUUUGAGAAUUCAUUUUUCUCACAAAUUACACCUUUUAAUUCUUCAAAUGACAAUGUGAGUGGAAUAACGAUAUCUAACAGAUUUUCACAAACAAAUUUCACUCAUUCAACUGUUUAUAACAAAAUAUGUCUAUGAUAAUAAACUUUUAACAUCACUCUAUCAUCCAUUAUGAUACAUUCACAUCAAAAGCUCUCAAUCUUAGUAAAAUUGCUGUUGAAACAAUGAAGAAGAAGAAGAAAGAAUCAGAGGGGUUCAGAAGAGAGAAUUGAGAGAUAAAGAAAAAUGGAGACUUCAGCUAAUAGUGGGUAUAUAUAAAAACAAAAAUCGGACAGUCCGACCGCUCUUUAACCGGUUUAAAUUUUAUAAAGAACUAAAAUCGGAUCGUCCAAUUUUAGUCAUAUACGAAUUCAAAAUUAUAGCAUGCAUGAAAUCGGACAGUCCGAUUUUAGUCAUAUACAAAUUCAAAAUUAUAGCAUGCAUGAAAUUGGACCGUCUAAUUACCAUAUUUAAUUUUUUUUUUUUGCACACUCAAAUUGGACCGUCCGAUUUGUGUUCCCCUUCUGCCGCAAAAAGAUUGAACGGUCCGAUUUCUUCCCCCUAACUUCGAAAAUCUAAUGCCGUCACAACACUCUAUUAACCCCUCAUACCUCCAUAACUCAGCGUUACACACACUUCAUUGUCAUAUUAAAAAUAAGGAAAAGUCUAGGGAACUAACUCUCUACCUAGCCAUUUUGAACUACUCAAUUAAUUAUAUUAAUUUUAAUUUAUUAGUUAAUUUGAAUCAUCCUCAUUAAUGAUUAUUUUAAAAAAAUAGGAUUUGCAAUUAACCGCCUAAUUAUUGGAACAUGAUUCACGGUUCUGAUAGGACUCUUCCUCUUUCUACGCAUUAAGUGUAUUGUUGUGCUUAAUUCAUUCUGCUGACGUCCUCAACAACGUGAACACUGAGGCCCACCUCUACUGUGCUACGCUGUUCUUGCCACCUUUUGUGUUAUUGUUCCUAAUCGGGGUUCCAUUGUUGUUCAUUGUUUGAUUACGUUCCGCUGCAAGGACCAGCAUGCCGCGUGACCACCGAAUCCCCACCUCCGCCGUGCUCUGCUGUUCUUGCCGCUAUUAGCAUUACCAUUCGUCAUCGGGAUGCCAUUGUUGUUCAUUGCUUGAUCACCUUCCGCCGCAAGGACCACCAUGCGGCUGCAUCUUUGAACGAAGUCGUUCGCGGUGGUUAGAGAGUUCUUCCCGCCGAGCUGUUGUACACAAAGAAGUCGACGUCGCAUUAUAUGGCUUCCGAUAGAGAGCAUUCGUCCAUGAACCAAUCAAUUUCGGAACGAAGAUUGAAUAGCCCCGUCGUUGAUGUGAGUGAUAAUAAUUCAAGGGAAGGCAAUGAACAUUUGAGUGUGAGGUUGCAAUUCAAUAUGUUUCCAAGGUACGUGGGGGAAAAGAGGAUGUUGUUUCAUUUUUUUUCCAUGCAAAUGAAUUGUAUUUGGUUAGUCUCAUGUGAAUAUUCUUUUUUUUUUAUACUAAGUGGAUGCGUUUUUUUUAGCUAAUGCAUUUUUUUAUUUACGAUUUGGAGAAUUUUUUUAUUAGUGUUGGAUGAUUUUUUUCUUAUUUUUAUAUGUUUUUUCUUUUAGGAUUUGGAUGAUUUUUUUUAUUAGUUUUGAAUGAUUUUUUUUUUGUGUUUUGUAUGUUUUUUCUUAGGAUUUGGAUAAUUCUUUAUCUUAUAUUUUAUUAUUUUUUUUAGAAAGAGAAAUUAGGAUUUGCUUGAUAAAUAGUAAAAGGUAAAUUAGAGUAAGAAGAGGUAAUUAAUAAUCAUUAAUUUUGUAUCCUUUAAAAAUUAAAAUUUAAAUAAUCAUCAAUUAAUGACAAUUAAUGAGUAUAGAGUGUAGUUUAAAAAUGUUUGUUGGCUAUACCCAUGUUGGUUUCCUAGCGAAAUUGUAAAAAUAAUGAGCCGUAUGAUGGGAAUAUGGGAAACUAACUAAAAAAUUGAAAAAUUAGAUAUGCAUGCUUUGGAACAAGUAAAUAACACUGUACAAGAAAAAUAAUUGACCGACAAUUUAGAACAAGUUUUUUUUGUCUAAAUUAAAUAUGAAAUUUAGAAAUUAUAUCUGAAAUCUAGCGCAUAAAAUGACUUUCUUUAUUUAAAGGUUUAAUGGAUUAAGAAAAUGAUAUGAUUUCUCGUUACUGAUACCACAUAUCAGUAUUAGUUCAAAAAUGAUUUUCAAUGUAAAUUUUAAUUUUAAAGAGUUUAAUUACUGUACUGGUCAAAAGUGAUACUUAAAAAAUAUUUUAUUAAUAUUAUGCAAAUCAAGAAUUAUGUAUGAAAUUUAGUUAUAUUUCAAGAAUCUUAUUUUAAUUUUUAUCAUUUAUUACUUAAAGGUAGAAAUAGAAAAAAAAAAUGGGAUUUAAAAUAAAAUUUAGGCACAUAACAAAGAAACUUAUUUUAUUUUUUUUUAAUUUUUUGUCUAAAUUAAAUAUUUUAAAAAAUUGUGUCUGAAAUCUAUGGGCAUAUUAAGAACCUUAUUUUGUUCUUUUUCAAUUUUUUUUAUCUAAAUUAAAUGUAAAAUUUAAAAAUUAUGUCUGAAAUCUAGCGCGUAAAAAGACCCCCUUUAUUUAAUAGGUUUAAUGGAUUAAGAAAAAGUUUAAUUACUCUAUUGGUCCUUAUAGUUUUACAAAAAAUUUUAAUUAGGUCUCUAUACUUUUUUUCCUUUUAAUUGGGUUCCUGCACCAAUUUUUUUUUAAUUAGGUCUCUCUUAGCAGUAAUUGACUUAUUAAUUGUACAGGAACCUAACUAGAAAAAUUGGUGCAGAGAUUCAAAUAAAAUGAAAAAAAGUGUAGGAACCUAAGUAAAAAAAAAAUUAGUGCAAGCUCAAUUAAAAGGAAAAAAAAGUAUAGGAACCUAAUUAAAAAUUUUACGAAACUAUAGGAACUAACAUAGUAAUUAAACCUUAAGAAAAUAAUAUGGUUUCUUGCUACUAAUACCACAUAUCCUUAUCACUUCAAAAAUAAUUUCUAAUGCAAGUUUUAAUUUUAAAUUAGUUUAGUUACUGUACAGGUCAAAAAUGAUACCAAAAAAAUAUUUCAUUAAAAUUAUGGAACUCAAGAAUUAUAUAAAAAAUUUAGACACAUUCAAAUAAUUUUAUUUUAAUUUUUAUCAUUUAUUACUUAAAAAGUAAAAAUUAAAAAAAAUGAGACUCAAUCUAAAAUUUAGGCACAUAUAUAAGAGGGAACCUUAUUUUAUUUUAUUUUUUUGUCUAAAUUAAAUAUUUUUCAUAAGUUAUACCUUAAAUCAAUGUGCAUAAAGGGAACUUUAUUUUGUUUAUUUAUAUGUUGUCUUUUUAUUAGAGAUAUCCACUGAUUAUCUAAAAUUUAGGCCCUUUUAGCAAAUUUUUUAUUUAUUUUUUUACCUUCUGUCCAAAUUACUUAAAAGGUAGAAAUAGAAAAAAGUGGAACUCGGUAUGAAAUUUAGACACAUAACAAAAAAUCUUAUUUUAUUUUUUUUUAAUUUUGUCUAAAUUAAAUAUAAAAUCCAAAAAUUAUACGUGAAAUCUAUGCUUAUAGAAGAAACCUUAUUUUGUUUUUAUUCAUAUAUUAUCUUCUUAUUAGAGAUGUCUCUAAUUCUUUGUGAACAAGAAGAAUAUUCAUAGCUAUGACUUUCUCUAACUUCAAAUAAAUAAAUAAAUAAAUAAAUAAAUAUUAUCUAGUUUUAUUUAAUAGAUUUAAUGAAUUAUGAAAAUGAUACGGUCUCUCGUUAUUGAUACUAUAUCAGUAUCACUUAAAAAAUGAUAUUCAAUACAAGUUUUAAUAUUAGAUAAGUUUAGUUAUUGAAUAAGUCAAAAGUGAUACCUAAAAAAUAUUUUAUUAGAGUGAUAGAAUUCAAGAAUUAUUUUUGAAAUUCAGGCACAUUCAACUAAUCUUAUUUUAAUUUUUAUCAUUUUUUAUUCAAAUUACUUAAAAAGUAGAAGUAGAAAAAUGUGGGACUCAAUAUGAAAUUUAGGCACAUAACAGAAAUUUUUUUUUGUUUUUUUUUGUUUAAAUUAAAUGUGGGAUUCAAAAAUUAUGCUUGAAAUCUAGGCACGUAUAAAGACCUUAUUUUAUUCUUUUUUAUAUGUUGUCUACUUAUUAGAGAUAUUUACUUAUCCUCUCUUAACAAGAAAAUUAUUCUUGGCUAUGACUUUUUCUAACUUCCAAAAAAAACAAGCAUCAUCCAAAAAAAUAUGUUUUACAUAUAAUAAAUAAAUAAAAAAGUACUUUUAUAUUAUUAUACCCAAAUAUAAUUGAUAGAUAAAAAGAUAUUUUUGCAUGAGAUAUCCAAACAUAAAAUUACUUUUACUUUUUUUUAUAAGAUCUUUUAAAAAAAUAUAACUUAAAAAAAGAUAUUUUUUUAGAAGUUCAGCCAAACAAACCCAUAGAGAAGUUAAAAAAAUGACUUCUCUCAUAAUACUACUACUUUUUAUCACAUUUCUAUAAAAUAAGCACUUUUAAAACUAAGAAUCCAAACACAAAAUAACUUAUUUAUAAGCUACUUUUAAUAUAACUAUUUAUUGUUUAAGUUAUUUUUUUAAAAGGAGUUUAAUUAAGCUAUUUAUCUAAACUGAGCCUUAAUAGGUUUAACUGAUUACGAAAAUGAUACAAUUUUUCGUUACUGAUAUCACAUAUCAGUAUCACUUUAAAAUGAUUUUUCAUGUAAGUUUUAAUUUUAAAUGAGUUUAGUUAUUAUAUAGGUCAAAAGUGAUAUCUAAAAAAUAUUUCAUUAGAGUUAUAAAACUUAAGAAUUAUGUAUAAAAUUUAAGCACAUUCAAAGAAUCUUAUUUUGAUUCUUAUCCUUUUUUGUUCAAAUUGUUUAAAAUGUAAAAAUAGAAAAAAAUAAACUCAACACAUAAUAGGAAACUUAAUUUUGUUCUUUUCAAUCUUUUAUUUAAAUUAAAUAUAAAAUCUCGAAAUAAUGACUAAAAUCUAUGCGCAUAGAAAGAACUUUAUUUUGUUUUUUUUUAUAUGCUGUCUUCUUAUUUAAAAUAUUCACUGAUUUUUUGUGAAUAAGAAGAACAUUCAUGGCUAUGAUUUGUUCUAGUUUCGAAAAAAAACAUCAUCAUCUAAGUUUAUUUAAUAGGUUUAAUGAAUUAUGAAAAUGAUACGGUCUCUCUUACAGAUACCAAAUCAGUAUCACUUAAAAAAUUAAUAUUUAAUGUAAGUUUUAAUUUUAAUUGAGUUUAGUUACCGUAGAAGUAAAAAAUGAUACAUAAAAAAUAUUUUAUUAGAGUUAUAGAAUUCAAGAAUUAUAUCUGAAAUUUAGGCACAUUUAACAAUCUUAUUUUAAUUUUAUCAUUUUUUAUUCAAAUUACUUAAAAAGUAAAAAUAAAAAAAGAGACUCAAUAUGAAAUUUAGGGACAUAACAGAAAUUUUAUUUUGUUCUUUUUUUAAUUUUUUGUUUAAAUUAAAUGUAGGAUUAAAAAAUUAUGCCUGAAAUCUAGGCGCGUACAAAGACCUUAUUUUGUUCUUUUUUAUAUGUUGUCUACUUAUUAGAGAUAUUUACUUAUUCUCUCUUAAAAAGAAAAUUAUUCUUGGCUAUGACUUUUUCUAGUUUCCAAAAAAAAAACAAGCAUCAUCUAACUUUAUUUAGGACCCGUUUGCAAAAAUUUAAAAGUAAUUUUUUUUUUUAAUUUUUGACUUAUGAAAAAUAGUAGUAUUAAUGUCUGGUGUAAGUUUCAAAACAAAAUUGCAGUUUUUUAAGAAGCUAUUUAUGAGUUUAUAGAGAAGUUAAAAAAUAACUUCUCUCAUAAUACUACUAUUUUUUAUCACAUUUCUAUAAAAUAAAUACUUUUAAAACUAAAAAUUCAAAUACAAAAUAACUUAUUUAUAAGCUACUUUUAAUAUAACUAUUUAUUGUUUAAGUUAUUUUUUUAAAAAGAGCUUAAUUAGACUAUUUACCUAAACUGAGCCUUAAUAGGUUUAACUAAUUACGAAAAUGAUACAAUUUUUUGUUACUGAUAUCACGUAUUAGUAUCACUUUAAAAAUGAUUUCUCAUGCAAGUUUUAAUUUUAAAUGAGUUUAGUUAUUAUAUAGGUCAGAAGUGAUAUCUAAAAAAUAUUUCAUUAGAGUUAUGAAACUUAAAAAUUAUGUAUAAAAUUUAAGCACAUUCAAAGAAUCUUAUUUUGAUUCUUAUCCUUUUUUGUUCAAAUUACUUAAAAUGUAAAAAUAGAAAAAAUGAAACUCAGCACAUAAUAGGAAACUUAAUUUUGUUCUUUUCAAUCUUUUAUUUAAAUUAAAUGUAAAAUCUCAAAAUUAUGACUAAAAUCUAUGCAUAUAGAAAGAAUAUUAUUUUGUUCUUUUUUAUAUGUUGUUUUCUUAUUUAAGAUAUCCACUGAUUUUUUGUGAACAAAUUCAUGGCUAUGACUUUUUCUAAUUUCAAAAAAAAUAAUCAUCAUCUAGGUUUAUUUAAUAGGUUUAAUGAAUUAUGAAAAUGAUACGGUCUCUCUUUACAGAUAUCAAACCAGCAUCACUUAAAAAAAUAAUAUUUAAUACAAAUUUUAAUUUUAAUUGAGUUUAAUUACUGUAAAGGUAAUAUAUAUACAUAAAAAAUAUUUUAUUAGAGUUAUAAAAUUCAAGAAUUAUAUCUGAAAUUCAGACACAUUCAACAAAUUUUAUUUUGAUUUUUAUUAUUUUUAUUCAAAUUACUUAAAAAGUAGAAAUAGAAAAAAUUGGACUCAAUAUAAAAUUUAGGCACAUAACAGAAAUCUUAUUUUAUUCUUUUUUAAUUUUUUAUCUAAAUUAAAUGUGCAAAUUAUUCUAAAAUCUAAGUUGUAAACAAGAAAAUCAUUCUUGGCUAUAACUUUUUCUAGCUUCCAAAAAAAUAAACAUCAUCUAACUUUAUUUAAUAGGUUUAAUGGAUUACGAAAAUAAUACAGUUUUUUGUUACCGAUACCACAUACCAGUAUUAUUUUAAAAAUGAUUUCUCAAGCAAGUUUUAAUUUUAAAUGAGUUUAGUUACUGUAUACAUCAAAAGUGAUAUCUAAAAAAUAUUUUAUUAUAGUUAUAAAACUUAGGAAUUAUGUAUAAAAUUUAGACACAUUCAAAAGAUCUUAUUUUGAUUUUUAUCCUUUUUUUUUUUAUUCAAAUCAUAGUUGUCAGAACCGAACCGGUGAUCGAACCGGUCAGGUUACUGGUUUACUGGUUUAUUGGUUCAACCGAUGAGUUAUUGGUCCAACCGGUAAAACCGGUCUCAUGUAAAUAAAAAAUAUAAAAUAAUAAAAAAUCUAACAUUAAAAUUUAAAAUACAUAUUUUUACUAAUAUUUUAAGAAUAAUUAAGUCUCAAAUUCUAUAAAUAACUAAUAGAAAGAUAGACAUAAAAUUAGUCCGUACUACUAUAAUAAUAUCUUAGUUGGACACAGUAAGAAUAACAAUCUAUAAACUAUAUCCAAAGAGUAAUUUUAAAGUCUAAAUAUCUUUACAUAAUUAAAUAAUUAUAUAUAAAUUUAUUUUUUUAGAAUAAGUAAUUUUUAUUUUAUUUUAAAAUUAAUUAAUUUGUACUUCAAUUAAAAAAUAAUUAAUUUAAAAAAUAUUGAAAUAAAAAAUAUUGAAUUAAGUAUUUUUGUAUAUAUAUAUAUUAGUUAGGAUAUUAUAUAACAUACAAUAUAUAUUAUAAAGGCAUGAAGUAUUCUAAAAGAACAAACUAGUGUAGUGGUAGUUAGCUUGGUCUCCCUUUGAGAAGGGCCAAGUUCGACUCCUGCCUUGCAUUAUAUUUUUAAAAAAUUUCCCAACCCGCACGCUGACAUCAGCAUGACAUCAUCAAUGCGCGGGAUUGACUGUUGACUGUGUUUGUUGACCGAACCGGUUCGGUUCAAGUUCGUGCCGGUUUUGACCGGUUUAAUCGGUUCGUACCGGUUUUAACCGGUUUAAUUCCUUAAACGGUUAGUAUACUAAACCGGACCGGUACAUGGUCCGGUUCACCGGUUUUCCGGUCGAACCGGCCGGUCCGGUCCGGUUUUUACAACUAUGAUUCAAAUUACUUAAAAUGUAAAAAUUAAAAAAAUAAAAUCCGGUAUGAAAUUCAGGCACGUAAUAGGGAAUUUAAUUUUGUUCUUAUUUAAAUUAAAUAUAAAAUCCAAAAAUUAUGCCUGAAAUUUAUGAAAAAAAGAACUUUAUUUUGUUCUUUUUAAUACGUUGUCUUCUUAUUUAAGAUAUACACUGAUUCUUUGUGAAUAAGAAGAAUAUCCAUAACUAUGGAUUCCUCUAACUUUCAAAGAAACAAGAAUUCUCUUUUCACUGUGAUCCGUUUCUUUAAGAUUGUUCUCAGAAAAAGCCUUGAUGAUGGAUAUCUUGUGAGAAUUUUCUUUCCUUCCUAUCCUCUUUUUAUCUUUCACUGUUUUUAUUUUACACAUACAAAAUUUUUUUAUGUAUACUUCUUGUGUUUCACUAUUUUUGUCAUAUUUUCUAUGUGAGGUAACAAGCACACACAUGCAUGGUUUCUUUUCUUACCAGCAUAAUAUGCUCCUCAAUAUUUAUGCUUUUUUAGUUUUAAAUUUUUUAUUGUUAGUUAGUUAGAGUAGUAACUGAAUCAACAAAGCUGCUGUUAGGGAAGGAUAAUUCUUCGUAGGGGUGUUCAUAGAUCGGAUCCGAUCUACAACAGUAUUUAUCCGAAUCCGAUUUGAAAAUUGUGGAUAUAGAUUCGAUGUGUAAGACUAUCGGAUCGGAUCAGCACACUAAUCAGAUCGGAUUGCGAAUUUUAGGUAGAUAUUCGUAUAUCUGAUCAGCAUAUUUGCGUAUCCGCAAAAAUAAAGAAAUAAAUAAAUAAAUAUUCUUUUUAUGUUUUAUUUUAACUAAUAAUUAUCUUAUAUGUUGUAUUAUUUUAAUUUAUUAUUUAAAAAAAGUAANNNNNNNNNNNNNNNNNNNNNNNNNNNNNNNNNNNNNNNNNNNNNNNNCAAGUAAUAAUUAUUAUAUAUGUUGUAUUAUUUUAAUUUAUUAUUUAAAAAAUGUAUGUUUAAUAUUAUUUUAAGAAUAAACAUAUUUAAAAUAAUAAAAAAAAUAAAUUUUAUUAAUAUUUUUUUAAUAAAAAUAAGCUUUUAAAAAUAUUUUGUGUUUUGCGGAUAUCGAUCCACGUUCACCACUAAUUUCUUAGAAAGUUGUCAAGAGGUUGAGUGAUACAAAUAGAGUGAGUCGAAUCAAGUUUUGUUAUGGUGAGUUUUGAUAAGUAUGGCAUUGCAGAAAAUACCAAACAAGUUCAGUAGAAAAUAUGGUGGUGAUAUGCCAAAUCCAGUGCAACUCCAGCCUCCAGAUGGCACUGAAUGGAGAAUAGAUUGGACUAAUCAUGAUGGUGAGAUUCUGUUUGAAAACGGUUGGAAAGAGUUUGCUACAUUUUACACUUUGGAGAAUGGUCAUGUGUUGUGGUUUGAGUACAAUGGAACUUCUAACAUCAAAGUAAACAUAUUCGACAUGAGUGCCCUCGAAAUUGAUUAUCCUUCCAAUGGCCGAAUCGGUGAUGACAACUCGGUUGAGAUUUUGGAUGAACCGCCGGCACGAAGGGGCCGAGGCCGGCCGAAGAAAAAUGUGAUAGCAGAACCAAAGCAAUCACGUGCUUCUACUUCUACAAGCAAAAUAAUGAAAAGUGCCAUCAAAACUAAAGAUAUAGAUAAAAAUCCCAAUACAAAAAAAUUGAAGCAGCAUGUCGAGAAUGAAAAAGAUGGUCAAUCUGAAGAGUCAGCAGAUCUUAAGCUUCCAAUAAUUCAACGUGCCAGACCAGAUAUGGAUGGUCUGUUUCAUAAUCUCAUCAUUCUUUCAUUUUUUGGAUUCUACUGAUUUUGUUUAAUUUUUUUAUUUUCUUUGUUGCUAAAAUGCAUAAAUACUUCUUUUGUCAUAAAGAAGUUAUUAGAGAAGCAAAGAAGUUCAAGUCGAAAAAUCCUUCUUUUGUCAUAAAGAUUAAGCAAAUGCACCAAACAGGAUCACCAGCAGUAAGUUGAUUCAUUUAUCUCUGUGCAAACUUUGUAUGUCAUGCAAAAUUGAGACUGUUGUGAACCAUGAUGAUGAAAUAUUCUGAUAUGAUUGCAGAAUCUUCCAGUUUGUUUCUUCAGGAUGUACUUCGAGAACAGGAAGCAGUGGCAUGCAACAUUGAUCUAUUAUCCAAAUAGGAAGAAUGCCCUGAUCUCUAAUUGGCGCUUGUUCCUUGAAGAAAAUAACUUAAAAGCCGGAGAUGUUUGUAUCUUUGAGCUCAUUAACAGACAAGGUCCAGAUCUUAAGGUUCAUAUUCGUCGUAGCCAUGAUUAGCGAAUGGCUUUGCUUACUUGUGUUGCAGAUCAAUGGAGUAUGUUCGGGGAUCAAGAGUUGUAACAGAGUCAUAGUUUUCAUCAUACUAAAUGGUUGCAUUGCAGUGUUAUCUCCUUACUACCAUAACUAGAAAUAUAUAAGUGAUCCAUGCAGAAACAAUACAUGUAGAAUUAUAUAUUGUCGGUAGUAUAAGAUGUUAUUUGGACAAAGUACCUAAUCAAAAGUUGCCCAACUACUUAUUUUCAAAGCAAUUUAUGGUUUGGAUCCUAUUUCACUCAUUCUCCCUCAUUUAUUAUACUUGUCACUAUUUAGAAAGUUACUAAUUAUUUGCAGAGUUGCAGCAAUUCCAUAAAAAAUUCCAAUGUAAAUAACUUUUAAUGAGUGUAUAACUUUUUUUAAUUCAUUGUAUUGGAAUAAUAGGUAAAUUGGUACAAGUUUAUUAUGUCAUAUUUAAACAAACGUAAAAUGUUUCUGAUAGAGAUAAAUGUAUAACUUACUGGUGAAGAUCCAGAUAGUUGAGUUUGCCUUAUCUUGGUUAAGAAAGAGGGAUUAUUUGACUUGAACUUCAUUGCCUCUUGAACAACUUUACAUGUACACCAUAAAAAUUUGCAUAAAAGUUACUUGUAGCUAAGUUCAAGCUUCAAACAACACAGUAAUUUUUAUUCAUUUGAACGAAAUUUAAACACAGCCUAAGAACAAUAAGAUAUUUAAUGCAUAGUUACAUGAAAUGCAAUACACCAUAUGUAAAAUAUUUUAUUUGGAAUAUAUGCGUACGCUGCUUUCAACACUGCAACACUGCAUUCUUCAUUCAGAUUGACUAGCUUCAUUCUUGCAACACUGCAUCCAGUUUUGUUUAUCAGGGGCCUUCUCUACAUCUCCAGUUUUGACAGAACUCAUCAAUAUUUUACUUGUAGAAGGAGAUGAUACUUCUGCUGCUGCUUUCAAUUUUUUCCUCGGCCGGCCUCGGCCUCUUCGUGGCGGUUCAUUCUCAACCUUAACCAUGUUGUGAUCAUCAAUGUGGUCCUUGGAAGGAUAGUCUAUUUCAGGGCACCUAGUUUUGGCAGAACUUGUGAACAUUUUACUUGUACAAGCAGAUGGUGUCUUUAGUGCUGCUUUCCCUGUUUUUCUCGGCCGGCCUCGGCCUCUUCGUGGCGGUUCAUUCUCAACCUUAACCAUGUUGUCAUCAUUAAUGUGGUCCUUGCAAGGAUAGUCUUUUUCACGCCACCAUUUCACUCCUCUAGCUUUGGCAGAACUUGUGAACAUUGUACUUGUACAAGAAGAUGGUGUCUUUGGUGCUGCUUUCUCUGUUUUUCUCGGUCGGCCUCGGCCUCUUCGUGAAGGAUAGUCUAUUUCAGGGCACCAUUUCACUACUCUAGUCAUGGCAGAACUUGUGAACAUUUUGCUUGUACAAGGAGAUGGUGUGUUUGAUGCUGCUUUCUCUGUUUUCCUUGGCCGGCCUCGGCCUCUUCGUGGCGGUUCAUUCUCAACCUUAAUGGAUCCAGAAAAUUUUAUUAGCGGAAUGAAAAUAUAUAUAACAUGAUAAUUAUUUUUAUAUUUAUUAUUAUAAUUAAUUUUUAAAUUAUCUCACAAAUAAAUUAAAAUAAUAAAAUAAUUAUUUAAAUAAUAAUCUGUUAAUAAUUUAACAUCAUAAAAUUAAAAUUAAAAUCAAAUUCACUAAUUAAAUACAAUUUUAAAAUCAAUUCAUAAAACAAUAAAAAAAUCCCUCGUGAAAGUAGCAGUAAAAUCAUAUAUACAUAACACACUAUUGCUGCUGCUUUGGCUAUAAUUUUUUUUUUAAUUUUGUGAUAAAACUAAUCACAUGAAUAAGAAAAAAAGAAACAUACAAUAGAGUAUAAAAGUUUAAUCUUUUUCACACAUAUAUAUGAACUAACUCUCGAGAAGAUCUUAAAUAGAAUCAUAUAAAAAGAUGAAUCAGAGUUAGUAGUNNNNNNNNNNNNNNNNNNNNNNNNNNNNNNNNNNNNNNNNNNNNNNNNNNNNNNNNNNNNNNNNNNNNNNNNNNNNNNNNNNNNNNNNNNNNNNNNNNNNNNNNNNNNNNNNNNNNNNNNNNNNNNNNNNNNNNNNNNNNNNNNNUAUAUAUAAAAUUUUUAAAACUCAGUGGGAGCACUAACCAUGUUGUCAUCAUCAAUGUGAUCCUUGGAAGGAUAGUGUAUUUCAGGGCACCAUUUCACUUCUUUAGUUUUGGCAGAACUUGUGAACAUUUUGCUUGUACAAGGAGAUGGUGUCUUUGGUGCUGCUUUCUCUGUUUUCCUCGGCCGGCCUCGGCCUCUUGGUGAACUUGUGAACAUUUUACUUGUAGAAGGAGAUGGUGUCUUUGGUGCUGCUUUCUCUGUUUUUCUCGGCCGGCCUCGGCCUCUUCGUGGCGGUUCAUUCUCAACCUUAGCCAUGUUGUCAUCAUCAAUGUGGUCUACUUCAGUUGUGGCAGAACUUGUGAACAUUUUACUUGUAGAAGGAGAUGGUGUCUUUGGUGCUGCUUUCUCUGUUUUCCUCGGCCAGCCUCGUGGCGGCAGUUCAUUCAAGAUCUCAAUCGAAUCAUCAUCGCUGAUGUGAUCCAUGGAAGGAUAGUCUAUUUCAAGGCAAGUCUUGUCAAAAAUGUGUACUUCAAUGUUAGAAGUUUGAUUGUACUCAAACCACAGCAAAUGGCCAUGAUCCAAAGAGUAAUAUGAAGCAAAUUCUUUCCAACCAUUUUCAAAUAGAAUCGCACCAUCAUACUCAGACCAAUCUAUCUUCCAUGCAGUGCCAUCUCGAGGCUUCAGAUACACUGGAUUUGGAACACUGUCACCAUAUUUCAUACUGAACGUUUUUGGUACCUCCUGCAAUUCAAAUGAAAGUAUGAAACUAGUCUUAGUAAUAAGCAUAAAUGAAAGAAACCCUUACAAGGGAAAAAUCACAAAGAGAAAUGCAUGCAUUAAAUAAUAUUAUAAGUAAAGAGGAUAUGAAGUGAAGAAAAUGCUUACAAUGUUUCCAUCUUCAAGGUUUUGUCUGAGAACAAUCUUGAAGAAACCGGCAGAGGAAGGAGAAUGCUUGUUUCUUUGGAAACUAGAGGAAGCCAUGGAUGUUGACCAACUCGCUACUUCAUUAUAAGCACGUACUUAUAUAUACACAUGAAACAGAAAAAACAACACACACACACCGUGCAACUAGAAGUGAUAAACCAAAAACUAUGUUUGAACUCUUAAUUAUAGAGGAUUAAAAUGCUAGUGGUAGUUAAAAAUGGUUUUAUCUUUAAUGUAUCAAUAAGGUUCUUAAAUGUGGAAAAGACUAAAAAAUUAUUUUAAAAGAAUUCUUAACCUCUCCAAUUUUUAUAAAUUUUAUUUGAUAAAUAAAAAAAAUUUCUCUCAAAAUAGAAAGCACAAAUUUAGAAUAUAUUUAUAUUCUAAAAAAAAAUCUUACAAAUAUUGGAAUUAUAAUAGACAUAAAAUUAAUUAUAAUUAUUUUAGAUUUUAUUAAUCUUCAAUCUUUUUUUAUGAUAUACUAUUUUACUGCAUUCAUGGAUUAGAUUCAUAGGUAAAUUACAAUUUUGAAUCAAAUCCAUGAAAAAUUCUACCUCACUUUUUUUUAUCCUUAUACCAAACACAACCUUGUCUUUCACUUUGAGAAGAUAACAAUGCAAUCAUGAAGUGCCAAAACAAGAAAUAAAAUUAAAACACUUAGUUCAUACAUAUAUAUAUAUAUAACUGGUCCAAACCAAAAAGGAUUGAAUACAGUAGAAGUUUGAUUCAACAGAAAAGAAAAAAAAAGGUGAUACAUUCUUCAUGAAAUUAACCUUAUUUAAGAAUUAUGAGCUCUUAGUUCGUGAAGUUAUAAUACAUUAGCCUAGCAUUGGGCUCUACAAAUAUGAACAUCAAACAGAUCUUUUUCAUUGAUGAACUCAAAAACACAAACAUCUCCAGCUUCUAAUUUACUUGCUCUAGCAAAUGAGCUCCAACCAGCCGAAAUAAAGCUGUUUUUCGAUGUCGGAUUGUAGAUUAUCGUAGCAGGCCACGACUCCUUUCCGAACUGUAAUUUUACAUCCUGCUGAUUCUUUUUAAAAUACUUUCUGUAAAAGAUAGCUGAUAAGUUCUGCAUCACAUUCCAUUUUUGAAUUGCCAUGUUAAAAAAUAGUUAUAAACUUACAAUUUGCGAAACUAAGUAUAAACUAGCACUCAGAAGUUUGCAUGGCAUAUUAUGUUUUGUCAUCGAUGAAAUGUAUUGAAGUAAACUUACAGGCCUUGAUCUCCUUGGAUCACUGUCUCUUAUCUUGACCAUGAAAGAGGGAUUCUGUGAGUUGAGCUCCUUAACUUCUUUUGGGAGCUGAAUCACAUGAGUCACUGGUUUGGAAAGUGACUCUGAUACAUAAAAGAAUUGUAAAAAAUUAGCAUGAAUUUUACUUGUGAAGAGUUUUGGAUACAAGUAUAUCUAUAGGGUUGGAGACAACAAAAAUUUUAGCAUAAGAUUAGUUUAUAUAACAAAUUGUGGUUACAUUAAGGACCAAAUACAUAGUCACUGCAUUCAUAAGCUAACUGCAUUCUUAGCAGAACUAACAAUAGUUUCCUUAAGAUUAAAAUUCUGCUGCUAUAAAUGUUUUAAGGAAGGGAAGAAUUAGAGAUUUGUAAAAUGUACUCCAAAUCAAACACGGGUCAAUUAAUUUUUAAUAUAAUUUUUUUAAUGAGAAUAAUGCUAAAUUCUAUUCCAUUUUUAAAGUUAAUUAUGUUUUCAAUGUUGUACUAAUAUCUUAAUUUUUUACAGAACAACAAAUUCUUAAACAAUUGCCUUACCGCGGCGUUGUCGACGACAAAUAUGAACAUCAAACACCGGAUCCUUUCUAUUGAUGAGCUUAAACAAACAAACAUCUCCGGCUUGUAAUUGACUAGCUCGAGCAAAAAGGUUCCAACCAGCAGAGAUAAAGGCAACACAUGAUGAUGGCCUAUAGAUCAACUUAACAGGGAACAACUUCUUUCCAAACCUUAUAUUUGCAUUUUGUGGAUUAUUUUCAAAAUACUUUCUGAAGAAUUUAGUUGAAAAGUACUGCAGCACAUCAUAUUUAUGUCAUCAUGGUUAGAAAUAAGACACAAAGUUUGAAAGAAUAAUAGCACAUGCAAGUUCACAUGAUACAUAAUUUUCAACAUGAUAUAUGUAUUCACCUAUACUUACACAUGGUGCUCUCGUUUGAGACCGUUGCGUUAUCUUGAUGAUGAAAGAGGGCUUUUCCCACUUAAACUUCUUAGCUUCUUUCAGAGAUUCAGGUCUUGCAGGACAGGGCCUAAUAGAAGAUUCAGAAUCUUUUCUUCUUCUAUUCCGUUUGCCUUGUACAUAGGAAAAAAAGAAUGAGAAACUACCACUGUAAUGUACACAAAGCAGUUACAAGUUGUAACUCAAAAACAACAACGGUUGAAUCCACAAAAGGAAAGGAUGAUCCAAUUAUGAGACACGUACCAUUAUAAUCUUGAUUGACAGACACUAGCAUCUCACGGUUUUUCUCUUUGGAUUUAAUACCGUGUGAAUUGAGGCUUCUUUCAACAUCCCUGAUUUGUGUGUCAUUUUCCAAUUGUCUACUUUUAGAAGCAGAUGACACUAGUGCUCUCAGUUUUUUAGUCGGUUGGCCCCGGACUUCUCUUGGCAAUUCAUUCAAUCUUUUCUUCUGCGGUCCCUCGUUAAGUCUCAUGUUUUGGGUGCUGGGACUGCUAUCCACAUGUCUAGUUUUUUGUUCUUCUGGCCUUUUCACUGACUGCUGAUCUCUGCGUGGCAGCUGCUCUUUGAUCUGAUCAUUGUCAGGAUACUCUAUUUGGAGGCAACCCAUGUCAAAUAUGUGUACUUCCAUGUGAGAAGUUCCAAUAUUAUAAUCAAACCAUAACAAAUGGCCAUGAUCAAGAGAGUAAUAUGCAACAAACUCUUUCCAACCCUUUUUAAACAAAAUUUCACCAUCCUGAUUAGUCCAAUCUACUCUCCAUUCAGUACCAUCCGGAGGCUUAAGAUACAAUGGAUUUGAUAGGCCAGAACCAUGUUUUUCAGUGAACUUUAUUGGUAACUUCUGCAGUGUUAUGAAUCUGGCGUUAGCAACCAUAAUAACAAUAAGGUGACACACAUUAGUAUGUCUUCACCAAGAUGUUGACAUGUAUUAUGUUAAAUAGUUUAGUCAAAUAUAUCAAACUAUUUAACGAUUUUCGACUAUCAUCUUCAUAUAAUAAUAACAUUAAACUCCCAAUUCAUCCUUCACUAAUAAUUAUAAAUAGUGCAGUAAAAUAGUCCAAACAUAUUAGUCCUAAAUUUUGUAUGUAGGUAAAGAUUAAUCUUUCACCUGUUUUAAAGGAGAGACUAAUUUCAAAUUUCAAAAGGCUAUUUUGCAGCAUUAUUUGCAUAAUUAGAGACUAGGAGUGAAAUAAAAAAAAUGUUAAAAGAAGGCAUUGUCCAACAUGAAAAUUGGUAGGGACCAAAUGAGUAAUAACAAAAUUAGAACUCAUGCAUAACGAAAAAAUGAUGAAUAUGAUAAUUUUUCAAAUCACUGCAAUAUGUCCUAUGAUGAGUGAAAGUGUUACCUAGAUCAUUUUUCAUUUUUUAAUCGUAAUUAAUUUUGUAGUAAGAAUACAUACGGAGUACAUAAAAUGUAACCAUCUAACAAAUAUGUUUUUAGGUUUUCAUUCAUCUUAUGUAUUUUUUAUUUUUAUGUACUUCUGCUACAAAAUUAAUUAUGAUUAAGCAUACAUUAUUGUAAAUAAAAAAUGAUCUAGAUAACAAGAAGAAGGAGUUUACUAUUACUAUAUUUUCAGCUAAGAAGCCAUGCAUGUGUGUUGUUCUAUGAAGAAAAUGUUUAUAAAUGAGAAAAAUUAUAUACAGAGAAAUAAAGAGAGAAACUUUUUGUUAACUAAAUAAUAUCUCAAAAGAUAAACAGAUUAAAAGAAAAAGAUGAGAUGAAGAAGACGAGAGAAAAUGCUUACAAAGUCAUCAUCUUGAAGAGCUUGUUUGAGAAUAAUCUUAAAGAAAGAAAUCACAGUAGAAGUAGAAGGAGACUGCUUGUUUUGUUGAGAGCUAGAAGAAGCCAUAGCAAACGAAUGAUGGAUGGAUUUGACUAUUGUUGAGGCUGAAAGUCUCUGUCACCCGGUAUUCCUUAAAUAACCUUAUUUUGGGAUAACAAUUAAAUUAAAAAAAUAACAAGUGAGUACUAAAAUAAGUUAUAUAUAUAUUUUAAUUUAUUUUUAAUAUAAAUUUUAUAUUUUUAUAUGUAUUAUAUAUGUAUAAAUAAUUUUAAUAUAUAUUUAAAANNNNNNNNNNNNNNNNNNNNNNNNNNNNNNNNNNNNNNNNNNNNNNNNNNNNNNNNNNNNNNNNNNNNNNNNNNNNNNNNNNNNNNNNNNNNNNNNNNNNNNNNNNNNNNNNNNNNNNNNNNNNNNNNNNNNNNNNNNNNNNNNNNNNNNNNNNNNNNNNNNNNNNNNNNNNNNNNNNNNNNNNNNNNNNNNNNNNNNNNNNNNNGGACUGAUUCCUUUAUAAUUGAUUGCGGAGUUAAUGGUAUUAUUAGAGAGACGAUAAAAAAAUAGUUAAAAUUUAUUUUAUAAUUAUUUUUGUCUAAUUUUUUCUUUUUGCUAGCAAACAUUUUUGAAAUGAUAAUAUGAAAUGCCAUUAGAUAAACUAAACAAAAGGAGAAGGUGCACAUGAAAAAAAAACAAAAUAGAGGCAUAAUGAAAUAGCACGAUAAAUAUUAGUACAUGGAAGAAGUUAGAUGAUAAAGGCAAAACGUGUAUCUUUAACUGUUAUAGCACAAACUCAAAAGUAUACAAGCUGUAUAAUCCAGAAUUAAAGAAGGUGAUCAUCAGUAAAAAAUGUGACGUUUGACGAGAAAAAUAUGUAGGACUGGAACAGAAAGACAGUAAAGCAGCCGAUUAUAAUUCCAAAUUCAUGUGAUGAAAUAGAACAAAGAUAAUCUAACACAACUAAACAACUAAAAUCAUCUAGAAGACCUCAAAAAAAAAUAUAAACUACCUACUAGAUUGGCAGAUUAUAAAAUUGACAGUGAUGAUGAGAAUAUAUUACGAAAAGAAUGGCAACAAUCUUUUUAAAUUUGUGUAACUAUAUUUUAAAUUGUAACUCAACAAUUGGCAGCGGUUUUAAAUCCGCUGUCAUAUCUUAACAGAAUAAUUCAACGGAUAGCAUUUUGUAGCGGUUAACAACCGCUGCCAUCUCCAAGCAGUCAUAUUCUUACGAUUUUGUAGCGAAAAUAACCGCUGCAAAAUACCAUUUAACAGCGGUUGUUCCAGCGGUUGCUAUUAACCACUGCAAACGGUUUAACCACACGCUAUCUUUUAGCGAAUAUACCAACUGCUGCUAUCCGUUUGGCAGCGGUUAAAAACCACUGUUAAUCCUGUACAUAACCGCUGUUAUUUAUCGGAUAUGGUGUAGUGCAUUAGUUAAUUGAUAAUAUGAGAUAUGUCAUUACUCAUUAACUAACCUUAUUUAGGAAAAAAAAUAGAGCUUAAUUAGGAGGGUUUGAUCAUCAGAUAAAAAUUAUAAGAUCAAUUUAAUUAUUUUUUCUAUUAUUUAUAAACCAAAUUGAUUAUUAGAUAAAAGUUGGCAACUAAUUUAAUUAUUAUUCAAUUUAGUCACCAAUUUAAAAUAUUUUAUGCUAUUAAAUUUUAAUAUUAUUUUUAAUAACUUACAAUUAGAAUAAUCAAAUUUUAACUGCUUUAUUGGAAUAUAAAUUGAUUAUUAUCAUAUAUUAUUGGUUCGGAAUUUUAAUUAAGAAUUACAAAACUUACGUCAUUAUAUAUUUCUUUCAUUUAGACAAAUUCUUUCAUAUAUAUUUACAAAUAAAAUAAAAGAUUAAAAUUGAGUGUAUUUAACUUAAUAACAAAAAUUAAUUCAUAAAAUAAAAAAGUUAUCUUUAACACAUCCAUUUUUAAAACGGUAACCUUUCUAAUAUACGAAUUAUUAUGAUUUAAAUAGUAUUUAUAUUUUUUUUUUGUUUUUUGUUUUUUGUUUUUUUUUACAAAUUGCAAUGAAAGGAUAUUAUUUACACAAGAAUAACAAAUAAGGGCAAAAAUUUAAGAAACUGGCUUUUUUUUUUUCUGAACGAACAUAAUAUAUCUAUGAGAAAAACUAAACUAAACCCAGUGAUAUCCCUAAUAAAUAGUAGAAAAAAAUGUAUUGUUUAAUUAUAAACUGGAGCUUGUUAUUUAUUUACUUCUGACCCCUUUUUUAAUUAUUUUAUUCAUUUAUGUUAACUCACAAAAAAAAUAAUAAAAAAAUACAAACGGGUCAAAAUGUUAUCAAAACCCGUUGUUCUUAUAGUAAUCCCAGAUUUCAAGGUACUUUUUUUGUAUUAACUGUGAUAUAUUCUCUGCAGAAAUAUUUUUUAUGUAGUAAAAAUAAUUGGCUUCUUAAGUUGUUUUGCUUUUAUGUAUUUUCUAAUUUUUGGCCCUCUCCUUUGUUUGUGAUGCUUUUAAGAAUUUAUAGAGCAUGAAAGAUAUUUGAUAGGACUGUAAUAAACAUUUUUUCAAAAACUUAAACUAAUUGAACUCUUGAUCUUUUAGAUUCAGAAUUUUUAUACCAUGUCAUGAUACUACUCAUCCCAAAAACUUCAGUUAAUGACAAAAGAUAACACUAAUAAUUAUAUCUCUAAUACUCUCUAAUCUUCCAUUACACACAUUAUAUAAAUAUUCCAUUAGCUCCUCAUGAUUUUCCUAUUUAAAAACUUCUGAUAGAUUAAAAAGUGACCGUUGAUAAUGCUUUAUACCUUCAUUAAAGUGGAUAAUUUUAUUAUUGACGUUCUUCUUCUUCUCUUGCUAUUAUAUCUUGUUAUUUUUCUUUUGUAGUGUAUUACUUAAUCAUGAAUUCAUGAUCAUAAUGCAUGCAGCAGGUUUAAUUUGCAUGUUUGUUGAUUGGAUGUCACGGAAGCAAGUUUUGUCCCGAGCCUUCGUUUUUGGAGAAUCUGGGAAAAGUAAGACACAUGCUUUGGAACAAUAAUUUUGACCGAUAACUCCAAAGAUAAGAAAGAUCAAAUUAAUAGGUACGUGCCUACGUGGUGUACAUGCAAACACAUUAAUGAUAACUUUUAAAAUAUAUUUCCAAUAAAAUACAAUUAUGAAGAAGAUAUAUAAUAACUAAAAUAAAUUUACCAAUUAGAGUUAAUUUUAAAUAUUUUGACGUAACAUUAUUUAAAUAUUGUAACUUAAUUAUUUGUACUUAGUUGUAUAUAUUAUUGUUGAAUGUUUAUAAUUAAUUAUGAGAGCAUUUUUAAUAUUAGUUCUAGUUUCAUUUUAUUUUGGUCUUACAAAAAUAUUUGUACAGUGAGACUAUAUAUCAUAAAUAGUGAUUUAAAAUUAAAAGUGAAUUUUGGCCUUCUAAUACUUAAUAUUAAUUUAAUUAAAAUUUUAUAUUAUUUUUAUUUAUUUUAUCAACAUAUUAUACAAGUACCAAAAUUUUAUUGGUUCUUUAUCAACGUGAUACCCGUAUAUCUCUAAUUUAAAAUUUUUUACUAAUGAUAAAUUUAUUAUGUAUCUUUAGAAUACAUAUUAGCUAAACUCUUUUUUUUUUAUAGGUGAACCGAUGAAUUUUCUUUUAAUGAAUAUUACAUGAUAAAAUGAGAAAAAAAUUGAAAAAAAACUGCGUUCAAAAUUUUAAAAUAUACCUAAUAUUGGAUCCGUCUAUUUUGCUUCAGUUUUUGAAGUAUCACUUCUCUUCUUCGACUUUUUUUUUUUUUACUUAACUGUGGUAUUCUCUGCAAAAAUAUUUUUGUUUAGUAAAAAAAAUUCGUUUCUUAAGUUCCUUUACUUUUGUGUAUUUUCUAAUUUUUGGCUUUUAAAUAUUUUUUAAUUUUUGGCCCUCCCCUUUUGCUGAUGCUUCUUAAGAAUUUAUAGAACAUAAAAAAUAUUUGACAUGAUUGUACUCCCAUAUCUUCCAGCUCAUUCUUUGUUUAUUUAAAACUUUUUGACAGGUUAAGAAGUGGGCGCUGAUGCUUUAUACCUUCGUUCAACCGAUAAUUUCAUUAUUGAUGUUCUUCUUCUCUUGCUAUCAUAUCUUAUUACUUUUCUUUUGUGUUGUACUACUUAAUCAUAAUCAUAAUGCAUGCAACAGGUUUUUUUUUUUGGACAUAUUUAGGGCAAUCAUAAUGCACGCAACAGGUUUUUUUGGACAUAUUUAGAGCUAAGCCCAAAUCCUAUCCGAGCCCAUAACCCAACCCGCCCAAACCCAAACCCCAAUCUGAUCUUCUCUCUCAAAGCGUUUAAUUCUUUCACCAAGAGACAAGCUCCCAUGGCCUCCACAGGUUUAAUUUGCAUGUUUGUUGAAGUCCAAUAAAAAAUCUUGAGCCUUCGUUUUUGGUCUUGAGGAAUAUUGGGCCAUAUUGGCCAGACUUCUUCUAUUUUUCUUCUAAUUUUUUUGUUUUAUUUUUUUGGUAUCGAUAGAACUGAACUUUUUUUUUUAUACAGAAUAAUAAGUGCAAACUAAAUUAUCAACUACUGUCUUUUUUUUUUUUUGGAAAUAUUAUCUUGGAUCGGACAAAAUUUGGUAUUCACACUAGAACAUUGAAAAAGUUUGAAAUCAAAUUUAAUUGAAUUUCAAGUCCAAAAAAAAAUUUUAAUUGAAUUUGAAAACUAAAUUACAUCCUAAAUAAUAGAAACUAUAAGAAUGUAAAUUAUUUUUUUAGUGCAAGACAACAUAACAUUCAUGAAUAACGAAGAAUCAUAAAUAAAUGAAAGCUUUAAGUUGAUGAUUAAACUUAAAGAAUUUAAAGUAAAUUUGAAUAAAAAUUUAAUUAGUCAAAAUUUCUACUAAAUUCCUGAAAUAUUACAAAUUUCAUAUGAAUAAAAAUAUAUUAAGUUUUCUUUUAUUUUUUAUGAAUGUGUUAGUGAAUUUAAAAAAUAAAAAAUAUAAUAAUAUUAUUUAAAUGAAUGAAUAAUCUGGGAUUAAUAGUGUGGAUAUUAUAUUUAAAAGAUAGAGUAUGUGUAAGUACAUUAUAAAUUCAAUAGCAUAAUUGUUGUUAUAAUUAUAUUUUAUUAUUGUAAAAUAUGAUUAGGUUUCAAGAUAUCUAAUUACAAAUUAAAAUACGAAAAUAGUAAUUUAAAUAAUAACACAUAAUUUAAAAUUUAGUUUUUUAUAUUUCAUAUUUUGAAACCUUGACAAUAUAAUCAAAAUGUCUUUUUUUUUAUAUAUAUAUGUCGUUAAACAAUCAUUUAAAACUCAACUUUCAUACAAUUAGCUCUUGAUAAUAUUUAUAGUUGAAAAAAUUCAUUCAAUUAGUGUAGUUAUUAUGAAAAAAAAACUAAAGCUAAUUUCAAAAGAAGAAACACAAAUGGAUAGAUAAUAUUCUUUCGAGCCAAUUUCUAAGAAAGAACACCAAUCUUAUUUAAAUUUAAAAAUUGAUUAUUAUAAUGGACAUCUAAUAUGAAGUUCUCAAAUUGAUUAUCAAGUGUCGAAAGUUGAAUAAAAAAUUAUUGUGGGGUCAAAUUUAAUAAUUUAAUGGGGACAAAUAAAUAUUAUUAUUAUUAUAUAUUACUCAAUAAAAUUUCAAAUUGUAGCGGGGGCGCUUGCCCCACACGUAUAGGAGGGGAUCCGUCCCUGCAUGCAUGGUCUCCAAAUUCAACGACCGCAUGAAAGUAGGCUCCACAAACGUAUGCUGGUUUAUUAGUGCAUUUACCACCUCUGCCACUAUAGUGCCGUCAGCCUGAUCUUCGUCUCCACCCGGAUCAACGACCUCAUAGUUACUUUCAAACUCCUCCUCACUAUCACUAUUAUAAUCUUCCAACUCAAUAUUUUGGUCUGCUUCAGAUUGUUCGAACUCAAUAUACAGUUCGAUGAACGAUAUCUAUGAGGGAGUUUUCAUAUACACUGAAAACAUAUCUUGUAUGCUUGCUUCAUCGGUUACAUAUUUGGUUUGAAACUGAAUGAACCCACCAAAUACGGAUAUAGGAUACCUAUACAAAAUGCACGACACUCUCCUAGAUAUUUGAGAAUUCAUUUUUCUCACAAACUAUACCUUUUAAUUCUUCAAACGAUAAUGUGAGUGGAAUAACAAUUUUAGUCAUAUACAAAUUCAAAAUUAUAGCAUGAAUGAAAUUGGGCCGUCCGAUUACCAUAUUCAUUUUUUUUUGCAAACACAAAUCGGACUAUCCAAUUUGUGUUCCCCUUCUGCCGUAAAAAAAUUGAACAGUCCGAUUUCUUUCCACUAACUUCGAAAAUCUAUUAACCCCUCGUACCUCCAUAACUCAGCGUUACACACACUUCAUUGUCAUAUUAAAAAUAAGGAAAAGUCCAGGAACUAACUCUCUAACUAGCCAAUUUGAACAACUCAAUUAAUUAUAUUAAUUUUAAUUUAUCAAUUAAUUUGAAUCAUUCUCAUUAAUGAUUAUUUUAAAAAAAUAGAAUUUGCAAUUAACCGCCUAAUUGGAACAUGAUUCACGGCCCUGUUAGGACUCCUCCUCUUUCUACACAUUAAGCUUAAUUCAUUUCGCCGACGUUCUCAAGAGACGUAAACAAGUAAAUAACACUGCACAAGAAAAAUAAUUGACCGACAAUCCCAAAAAAAAAUUAAGUAUAUGUAAUUUAAAGAGCAUGAAUAAUAGAAACCUUAUUUUGUUCUUUUUCAAUUUUUUGGUCUAAAUUAAGUGUGGAAUUUAAAUAUUAUGUUUGAAAUCUAACAUAGAAAGACCCUCUUUAUUUAAUAGAUUUAUUGGAUUAAGAAAAUAAUACGAUUUUUCGUUACUGAUACUACAUAUCAUUAUCACUUAAAAAAUGAUUUCUAAUGCAAGUUUUAAUUUUAAAAGAGUUUAGUUACUGUACAGGUAAAAAGUAAAACCUAAAAAAUAUUUUUCAUUAAAAUUAUAAAACUAAAAAAUUAUGUAUGAAAUUUAGGCACAUUCAAAAAAUCUUAUUUAGAUUUUUAUCAUUUAUAAAUUAGAAAAUAGAAAUAAAAACAAGUAGGACUCAUUAUAAAAUUUUGGCACAUAACAAAGAAUCUUAUUUUAUUCUUUUUCAAUUAUUUAUCUAAAUUAAAUGUUUUUCAGAAAUGGUACCUAAAAUCUAUGUGCAUAUUAGGAAUCUUAUUUUUUUAUUUACAAUUUGAAGAAUUUUUUUAUUAGUUUUGGAUGAUUUUUUUUCUUAUGUUUUGUAUGUUUUUUUCUUUAAGAUUUAGAUUAUUCUUUUUCAUUAAUUUUGGAUGAUUCUUUUUUUUGUGUUUUGUAUAUUUUUUUCUUAGAAUUUAGAUGAUUCUUUAUCUUAUAUUUUAUUAUUUUUAUCUUUUUUAGAAUUUGAACUUUUUUUUUAGAAAGAGAAAUUAGGAUUUGCUUGAUAAAUAGUAAAAAGUAAAUUAGAGUAAGAGGAGGUAAUUAAUAAUUAUUAUUUUUGUAUCUUUUAAAAAUUAAAAUUUAAAUAAUCAUCAAUUAAUGAUAAUUAAUGAGUAUAGAAUGCAAUUCAAAAAUGUUUGUUAGCUAUACCCGUGUUGGUUCCCAAGCAAAAUUGUAAAAAUAAUGAGCCAUAUUAUAGGAAUCUGGGAAACUAACAAAAAAAUUGAAAAGUGAGACAUGCAUGUUUUGGAACAAGUAAAUAACACUGCACAAGAAAAAUAAUUGACCGACAAUUUCAAAAAAGAAAUUAAGUGUGUGUAAUUUAAAGAGCAUGAAUAAUAGAAAUCUUAUUUUGUUCUUUUUCAAUUUUUUGGUCUAAAUUAAGUGUGGAAUUUAAGAAUUAUGUUUGAAAUCUAGCAUCGAAAGUCCCUCUUUAUUUAAUAGGUUUAUUGGAUUAAGAAAAUGAUAUAUUUUCUCGUUACUGAUACCACGUGUCAUUAUCACUUCAAAAAUUAUUUCUAAUGCAAGUUUUAAUUUUAAAAGAGUUUAGUUACUGUACAGGUCAAAAGUAAAACCUAAAAAAUAUUUCAUUAAAAUUACAGAACUCAAGAAUUAUGUACGAAAUUUAGGCACAUUCAAAAAAUUUUAUUUAGAUUUUUAUCAUUUAUAAAUUAGAAAAUAGAAAUAGAAAAAAAAGUGGGACUCAUUAUAAAAUUUAGGCACAUAAUAAGGAAUCUUAUUUUAUUCUUUUUUAAUUAUUUGUCUAUAUUAAAUAUUUUUCAGAAAUUGUACCUAAAAUCUAUGCGCAUAUUAGGAACUUUAUUUUUUAAUUUACGAUUUGGAGAAUUUUUUUUAUUAGUUUUGGAUGAUUUUUUUCUUAUGUUUUGUAUGUUUUUUCUUUAGGAUUUGGAUGAUUCUUUUUUUAUUAGUUUUGGAUGACUCUUUUUUUUUGUAUAUUUUUUCUUAGGAUUUGGAUGAUUCUUUAUCUUAUAUUUUAUUAUUUUUAUUUUUUUUAAAAUUUAGACGUUUUUUUUAGAAAGAGAAAUUAGGAUUUGCUUGAUAAAUAGUAAAAAGUAAAUUAGAGUAAGAAGAGGUAAUUAAUAAUCAUUAAUUUUGUAUCUUUUAAAAAUUAAAAUUUAAAUAAUCAUCAAUUAAUGACAAUUAAUGAGUAUAGAAUGCAGUUUAAAAAUGUUUGUUGGCUAUACCUAUGUUGGUUCCCUAGCGAAAUUCUAAAAAUAAUGAGCCAUAUGAUAGGAAUUUGGAAAACUAACUAAAAAAUUGAAAAGUGAGACAUGCAUGCUUUGGAACAAGUAAAUAACACUGCACAAGAAAAAUAAUUGCCCGACAUGAAUAAUAAAAACCUUAUUUUGUUCUUUUUCAAUUUUUUGGUCUAAAUUAAGUAUGAAAUUUAAGAAUUAUGUUUGAAAUCUAGCAUCGAAAGUCCCUCUUUAUUUAAUAGGUUUAUUGGAUUAAGAAAAUGAUAUGUUUCCUCGUUACUGAUACCACAUGUCAUUAUCACUUCAAAAAUUAUUUCUAAUGCAAGUUUUAAUUUUAAAAGAGUUUAAUUAUCGUACAGAUCAAAAGUAAAACCUAAAAAAAUAUUUCAUUAAAAUUAUAAAAAUCAAGAAUUAUGUACGAAAUUUAAGCACAUUCAAAAAAUCUUAUUUAGAUUUUUAUCAUUUAUAAAUUAAAAAAUAAAAAUAGAAAAAAAGUGGGACUCAUUAUAAAAUUUAGGCUUAUUCUUUUUCAAUUAGUUGUCUAAAUUAAAUAUUUUUUAGAAAUUGUACCUAAAAUCUAUGCGCAUAUUAUGAACCUUAUUUUUUAUUUACGAUUUGGAGAAUUUCUUUUAUUAGUUUUGGAUGAUUUUUUGUUAUGUUUUAUAUGUUUUUCCUUUAGGAUUUGGAUUAUUCUUUUUUUUUGUGUUUUGUAUGUUUUUUUUUUAGGAUUUGGAUGAUUUUUUAUCUUAUAUUUUAUUUUUUUUAUUUUUUUUAGAAUUUAGAUAUUUUUUUUGAAAGAAAAAUUAGGAUUUGCUUGAUAAAUAGCAAAAAGUAAAUUAGAAUAAGAAGAGGUAAUUAAUAAUCAUUAAUUUUGUAUCUUUUAAAAAUUAAAAUUUAAAUAAUCAUGAAUUAAUGACAAUUAAUGAGUAUAGAAUGCAGUUCAAAAAUGUUUGUUGGCUAUAUCCGUGUUGGUUCUCUAGCGAAAUUCUAAAAAUAAUGAGCCAUAUGAUGAGAAUUUGGGAACUAACUAAAAAAUUGAAAAGUGAGACAUGCAUGCUUUGGAACAAGUAAAUAACACUGCACAAGAAAAAUAAUUGACCGACAAUCCCAAAAAAAGAAUUAAGUGUGUGUAAUUUAAAGAGCAUGAAUAAUAGAAAUCUUAUUUUGUUCUUUUUCAAUUUUUUGGUCUAAAUUAAGUGUGGAAUUUAAAUAUUAUGUUUGAAAUCUAGCAUAGAAAGACACUCUUUAUUUAAUAGGUUUAUUAGACUAAUAAAAUGAUAUGGGUUCUCGUUACUAAUAUCAUAUAUCAUUAUCACUUUAAAAAUAAUUUCUAAUGCAACUUUUAAUUUUAAAAGAGUUUAGUUACUGUAAAUGUCAAAAGUAAAAUCUAAAAAAUAUUUCAUUAAAAUUAUAGAACUCAAGAAUUAUGUAUGAAAUUUAGGCACAUUCAAAAAAUCUUAUUUAAAUUAGAAAAUAGAAAUAGAAAAAAAAGUGGGAGUCAUUAUAAAAUUUAGACACAUAACAAAGAAUCUUAUUUUAUUUUUUUUCAAUAAUUUGUCUAUAUUAAAUAUUUUUCAGAAAUUGUACCUAAAAUCUAUGCACAUAUUAGGAAUUUUAUUUUUUUAUUUAUGAUUUGGAGAAUUUUUUUAUUAGUUUUGGAUGAUUGUUAUCUUAUGUUUUGUAUGUUUUUCUUUAGGAUUUGGAUGAUUCUUUUUUAUUAGUUUUGAAUGAUUCUUUUUUUUUUUUGUAUUUUGUAUAUUUUUUUCUUAGAAUUUGGAUGAUUCUUUAUCUUAUAUUUUAUUAUUUUUAAUUUUUUUUAGAAUUGGGACGUUUUUUUUAGAAAGAAAAAUUAGGAUUUGCUCGAUAAAUAGUAAAAAGUAAAUUAGAGUAAGAAGAAGUAAUUAAUAAUCAUUAAUUUUGUAUCUUUUAAAAUUAAAAUUUAAAUAAUCAUCAAUUAAUGAUAAUUAAUGAGUAUAGAAUGCAGUUCAAAAAUGUUUGUUGGCUAUACCCGUGUUGGUUUUCUAGCAGAGUGGUAAAAAUAAUGAGCCAUAUGAUGAGAAUCUGGAAACUAACAAAAAAAUUGAAAAGUGAGACAUGCAUGCUUUGGAAUAAGUAAAUAACACAACACAAAAAAAAAUAAUUGACCAACAAUCCAAAAAAAAAAAAAAUUAAGUGUGUGUAAUUUAAAGAGCAUGAAUAAUAGAAAUCUUAUUUUUUUCUUUUUUAAUUUUUUGUUUUAAAUUAAGUGUGGAAUUUAAAUAUUAUGUUUGAAAUCUAGCAUAGAAAGAUCCUCUUUAUUUAAUAUGUUUAUUAGAUUAAGAAAAUGAUAUGAUUUUUCGUUACUGAUACCACAUGUCAUUAUCACUUCAAAAAUUAUUUCUAAUGUAAGUUUUAAUUUUAAAAGAGUUUAGUUACUCUACAGGUCAAAAGUAAAACCUAAAAAAUAUUUCAUUAAAAUUAUAGAACUCAAGAAUUAUGUAUGAAAUUUAGGCACAUUCAAAAAAUCUUAUUUAGAUUUUUAUCAUUUAUAAAUUAGAAAAUAGAAAUAGAAAAAAAAGUGGGACUCAUUAUAAAAUGUAGGCACAUAACAAGGAAUCUUAUUUUAUUCUUUUUUAAUUAUUUGUCUAAAUUAAAUAUUUUUCAGAAAUUGUACCUAAAAUCUAUGCGCAUAUUAGGAAUCUUAUUUUUUUUUUAAGAUUUGGAGAAUUUUUUAUUAGUUUUGGAUGAUUUUUUUCUUAUGUUUUGUUUGUUUUUUCCUUUAGGAUUUGGAUGAUUCUUUUUUAUUAGUUUUGGAUAAUUUUUUUUUUAUAUUUUUGUAUGUUUUUUUCUUAGGAUUUGGAUGAUUCUUUAUCUUAUAUUUUAUUAUUUUUAUUAUUUUUAGAAUUUGGACUUUUUUUUAGAAAGAGAAAUUAGGAUUUGCUCGAUAAAUAGUAAAAAGUAAAUUAGAGUAAGAAGAGGUAAUUAAUAAUCAUUAAUUUUGUAUCUUUUAAAAAUUAAAAUUUAAAUAAUCAUCAAUUAAUGGCAAUUAAUGAGUAUAGAAUGCAGUUCAAAAAUAUUUGUUGGCUAUAUCCGUGUUGGUUCCCUAGCGGAAUUGUAAAAAUAAUGAGCCAUAAGAUGGAAAUCUGGGAAACUAACUAAAAAAUUAAAAAGUGAGACAUGCAUGUUUUGAAACAAAAAAAUAACACUGCACAAAAAAAAUAAUUGACCGACAAUCUCAAGAAAGAAAUUAAGUGUGUGUAAUUUAAAGAGCAUGAAUACUAGAAACCUUAUUUUGUUCUUUUUCAAUUUUUUGGUCUAAAUUAAGUGUAAAAUUUAAAAAUUAUGUUUGAAAUCUAGCAUAGAAAGACCCUCUUUAUUUAAUAGGUUUAUUGGAUUAAGAAAAUGAUAUGGUUUUUCGUUACUGAUACCACAUGUCAUUAUCACUUUAAAAAUUAUUUCUAAUGCAAGUUUUAAUUUUAAAAGAGUUUAGUUACUGUACAUAUCAAAAGUAAAACCUAAAAAAUAUUUCAUUAAAACUAUAGAACUCAAGAAUCAUGUAUGAAAUUUAGGCACAUUUAAAAAAUCUUAUUUAAAUUUUUAUCAUUUAUAAAUUAAAAAAUAGAAAUAGAAAAAAUGUGAGACUCAUUAUAAAAUUUAGGCACAUAACAAAGAAUCUUAUUUUAUUCUUUUUCAAUUAUUUGUCUAAAUUAAAUGUUUUUCAAAAAUUGUACCUAAAAUCUAUGCGCAUAUUAGGAACCUUAUUUUGUUCUUUUUCAAUUUUUUGGUCUAAAAAAAGUGUAAAAUUUAAAAAUUAUGUCUGAAAUUUAGCGCAGAAAGACCCCUUUAUUUAAUAGGUUUAGUGGAUUAAGGAAAUGAUAUAGUUUCUCGUUAUAUCAGUAUCACUUCAAAUCCAAUGCAAGUUUUAAUUUUAAAUGAGUUUAGUUACUGUACAGAUCAAAAGUGAAACGUACAAAAUAUUUCAUUAAGAUUAUGGAACUCAAAAAUUACGUAUGAAAUUUAGGUAUAUUCAAAAAAUUUUAUUUUGAUUUUUAUCAUUUAUAAAUUAAAAAGUAGAAAUAAAAAAAAAGUGGGACUCAUUAUAAAAUUUAGACACAUAAUAAAAAAUUUUAUUUUAUUCUUUUUAAAUUAUUUGUCUAAAUUAAAUAUUUUCAAAAAAUUGUGCUUGAAAUCUAUGCGCAUAUUAGCAACCUUAUUUUGUUCUUUUUCAAAUUUUUUUUGUCAAUAUUAAAUGUGAAAUUUAGAAAUUAUGUCUAAAAUCUAGUGCAUGAAAAACUCUCUUUAUUUAAUAGGUUUAAUAAAUUUUAAAAAUGAUAUAGUUUCUCGUUACUAAUACCACAUAUCAGUAUCAUUUUAAAAAUAAUUUCUAAUAUAAGUUUUAAUUUUUUAAAUGAGUUUAGUUAAUUUACAAGUCAAAAGUGAUACCUAAAAAGCAUUUUCUUAAAAUUAUAGAGCUCAAGGAAUUAUAUAUGAAAUUUGGGCACAUUUAAUGAAUCUUAUUUUAUUUUUUAUUAUUUAUUAUUUAAAAGGUAGAAAUAGAAAAAAUAGUGAAACUUAGUAUAAAAUUUGGGUAUAUAACAAGAAACGUUAUUUUAUUCUUUUUCAAUUGUUUGUCUAAAUUAAAUGUUUUCAAAAAAUUGUGCAUGAAAUUUAUGCGUAUAUUGGAAACUUUAUUUUGUUCUUUUUUAAUUUUUUUGUCUAAAUUAAAUGUGAAAUUUAAAAAUUAUAUCUGAAAUUUAACGCAUAGAAAGACCCCUUUGUUUAAUAGGUUUAAUAGAUUAAAAAAUAAUAUCUCGUUCCUGAUACCACUUGUCACUAUUACUUAAAAAAUAAUUUUCAAUACAAGUUUUAAUUUUAAAUGAGUUUAGUUACUGUAUAAAUCGAAAGUGAUGCCUGAAAAUUUUUUCAUUAAAAAUUAUGAAAAUCAAGAAUUAUAUAUAAAAUUUAGACAUAUUUAAAGAAUUUUAUUCUAAUUUUUAUCAUUUAUUACUUAAAAAGUAAAAAUAGAAAAAAAAGUGGAACUCAAUAUAAAAUUUAGGUACAUAAUAAAGCACCUUAUUUUAUUUUUUUUUUAAUUUUUUGUCUAAAUUAAAUCUUUUCCGGAAAUUAUGAGUGAAAUGUAUGUAUGCGCAUACUAGGAACCUUUUUUUGUUCUUUUUUAAAUUUUUUUUGUCUAAAUUAAAUAUAAAAUUUAAAAAUUAUGUCUGAAAUCUAAUGCAUAGAAAUUUUUUUUAUAUUUAAUAGGUUUAAUAAAUUAAGAAAAUGAUAUGGUUUCUCGUACCACAUAUCAGCAUUAGUUCAAAUAUGAUUUUCAAUAUAAAUUUUAAUUUUAAAUGAGUUUAGUUAUUGUACUGGUUAAAAGUGAUACCUAAAAAAUAUUUCAUUAAUAUUAUAAAAAUCAAGAAUUAUAUAUGAAAUUUAGUUACAUUCCAAGAAUCUUAUUUUAAUUUUUAUCAUUUAUUACUUAAAGAUAGAAAUAGAAAAAAAGUGGGACUCAAAAUAAAAUUUAGGUACAUAACAAGGAACUUUUUUUGUCUAAAUUAAAUAUUUUAAAAAAUUAUGUCUGAAAUCUAUGGGCAUACUAAGAACCUUAUUUUGUUCUUUUUCAUUUUUUUUAUUUAAAUUAAAUGUGAAAUUUAGAAAUUAUGUCUGAAAUCUAGUGCAUAAAAAGACCCCUUUUAUUUAAUAGGUUUAAUGGAUUAAGAAAAAGUUUAAUUACUCUAUUGGUCCUUAUAGUUUCGCAAAAUUUUCAGUUAGGUUUCUAUAUUUUUUUUCCUUUUAAUUGGAUCUCUACACCAAUUUUUUAAUUACUGCUAAGAGGGACCUAAUUGAAAAAAAAAUGGUGUAGGGACCCAAAUAAAAGAAAAAAAAGUGUAAGGACCCAAGUAAAAAAAAAGUGUAAGGACUCAAUUAAAAGGAAAAAAAAAGUAUAGGAACCUAAUUAAAUUUCACGAAACUAUAGGAACCGACAGAGUAAUUAAAACUUAAGAAAAUGAUAUGGUUUCUUGCCACUGAUACCACAUAUCAGUAUCACUUCAAAAAUGAUCUCUAAUGCAAGUUUUAAUUUUAAAUUAGUUUAGUUACCGUACACGUAAAAAAUGAUACUUAAAAAAUAUUUUAUUAAAAUUAUGAAACUCAAGAAUUAUGUAUGAAAUUUAGACACAUUUAAAGAAUCUUAUUUUAAUUUUUAUUAUUUAUUACUUAAAAGAUAAAAAAAAAAGUGAGGCUCAAUUAAAAUUUAGGCACAUACAUAAGAGGAACCUUAUUUCAUUUUUUUAUUUUUUUGUCUAAAUUAAAUAUUUUUCAUAAAUUAUGCCUGAUAUUAAUACGCGUAAAGAAAACUUUAUUUUGUUUUUUUUAUAUGUUGUCUUUUUAUUAGAGAUAUCCAUGACUAUGUUUUCUCUAACUUCCAAAGAAACAAGAAUUCUCUUUCCACUAUGAUCCGUUUCUUUAAGAUUGUUCUCAGAAAAAACCUUGAUGAUGAAUAUCUAGUGAGAAUUUUCUUUCCUUCACCCUUCCUAUCAUCUUUUUUUUUCUUACCAGCAUACUAUGCUCCUCAAUAUUUAUGCUUUUUAGUUUUGAAUUUUUGAUUGUUAGUUAGUUAGAGUAGUAACUGAAUCAACAAAGCUGCUGUUAGGGAAGGAUAAUUCUUAGAAGGUUGUUAAGAGGUUGAGUGAUACAAAUAGAGUGAGUGGAAACUUAUCUGAAAAGUUUCUAUAGUGAAGCAUAAUAAUAGUGAAACUUAUCUGGCCAAUGUUGUGUUAUGAUUGAGUUUUGAUAAGUAUGGUUACCAACAACAGUUCAGUAGGAAAUAUGGUGGUGAUAUGCAAAAUCCAGUGCAACUCCAACCUCCAGAUGGCACUGAAUGGAGAAUAGAUUGGACUAAUCAUGAUGGUGAGAUUCUGUUUGAAAACGGUUGGAAAGAGUUUGCUACAUUUUACACUUUGGAGAAUGGUCAUUCUAACAUCAAAGUACACAUAUUCGACAUGAGUGCCCUCGAAAUUGAUUAUCCUUCCAAUGGCCGAAUCGGUGAUGACAACUCGAUGAACCGCCAGCGCGAAGGGGCCGAGGCCGGCCAAAGAAAACAGUGAUAGCAGAACCAAAGCAAUCAUGUUCUUCUACAAGCCGGAGAUGUUUGUAUCUUUGAGCUCAUUAACAGACAAGGUCCAGAUCUUAAGGUUCAUUUUCGUCAAAGCCAUGAUUAGCGAAUGGCUUUGCUUACUUGUGUUGCAGAUCAAUGGUGUAUGUUCAGGGAUCAAGAGUUGUAACACUGAGUCAUAGUUUUCAUCAUACUAAAUGGUUCCAUUGCAGUGUUAUCUCCUUACUACCAUAACUAGAAAUAUAUAAGUGAUCCAUGCAGAAACAACACAUGUAGAAUUAUAUAUUGUUGGUAGUAUAAGAUGUUAUUUGGACAAAGUACCUAAUCAAAAGUUGCCCGACUACUUAUUUUCAAAGCAAUUUAUGGUUUGGAUCCUAUUUCACUCAUUCUCCCUCAUUUAUUAUACUUGUCACUUUUUAGAAACUUACUAACUAUUUGCAGAGUUGCAGUAAUUACAUAAAAAAUUCCAAUGUAAAUAACUUUUAAUGAGUGUAUAAUUUUUUUUAAUUCAUUGUAUUGGACUAAUUGGUAAAUUGUUACAAGUUUAUUAUUUCAUAUUUAAACAAACAUAAAAUAAAAGUUAAUUUUGCUUACUUUAUGUAAGAUAUAGGUAUGAAUAUGUCCAUAAAUUCUGUCAAAUUUGUUGAGAAUAUGUUCCAUUACAAUACACAAUCUUGUGUAUGAAAUAAGAUCCACAGGUACUUUUCUAAUUUCUGAUUUGUAGUGAGAACAACACUGCAACAAUUAAGUGUGAAAUGUGAAGAAAAACAUGAAUCCAUGUCACAACUCUUAAUGACUAACAUAAAUAAGCAUUCAUGACUAACAUUCAAGUUUGAUUUUAACAAAGUGGAGUGACACAUUUCUUAACCAAAUUUCUUGAUACAAGAACUCCAGAUACUCUAAAGAUUGCCUAAUUAAGCAUCCUGAUACUCUAAAGAUUGUCUAAUUAAGCAUCCCUUCGAAAAAUAUGAGCAUCAAGUUCUGCACCUUCUCUGUAAACAAGCUCAAAGAUACAAAUAUCUCCAGCUUUCAGGUUAUUGACAAAAUGGCAAUUUUCUGAGUUGGAUAAUAGUUCAAUGUUACAGGCCACUGUUUCGUAACAGAAUAUUUGCAUGACAUGAAAUGUUUCUGACAGAGACAAAUGUGUCAACUUACUGGUGAAGAUCCAGAUAGUUGAGUUUGCCUUAUCUUGGUUAUGAAAGAGGGAUUCUUUGACUUGAACUUCUUUGCUUUUUGAACAACUUUACAUGUACACCAUAAAAAAUUUGCAUAGAAGUUACUUGUAGCUAAGUUCAAGCUUCAAACAACACAGUAAUUUUUAUUCAUUUGAACGAAAUUUAAACACAGACAAAGAACAAUAAGAUACUUAUUGCAUAGUUACAUGAAAUGCAAUACGUUCUGGUAUGGUAUGCAAUAUGCAUACGCUACCUAUCUGGUGAAUUUGUAACUAUGAUUUAUGCAUUUUAGCCACAAAAGCAAUACAUUAGAAACUACAAAAAUAAAAGGAUGAAAUGAUCAUGAAAUUACAUACUAUCAGGAUCAACACUGGCACUUUAAAUUGUUGGCAUCUUAAGACCUGUCUCUUCAGAUUGACUAGCUUCUUCAAUUUUGCAACACUGCAUCCAGUUUUGUUUAUCAGGGCCCUUCUCUACAUCUCCAGUUUUGACAGAACUCCGCAAUGUAUUACUUGUAGAAGGAGAUGAUACUUCUACUGCUGCUUUCAAUUUUUUCCUCGGCCGGCCUCGGCCUCUUCGUGGCAGUUCAUUCUCAACCUUAACCAUGUUGGCAUCAUCAAUGUGGUCCUUGGAAGGAUAGUCUAUUUCAGGGCACCUAGUUUUGGCAGAACUUGUGAACAUUUUACUUGUACAAGCAGAUGGUGUCUUUGGUGCAGCUUUCUCUGUUUUUCUCGGUCGGCCUCGGCCUCUUCUUGAAGGAUAGUCUGUUUCAGGGCACCGUUUCACUGCUCUAGUCUUGGCAGAACUUGUGAACAUUUUGCUUGUAGAAGGAGAUGCUGUGUUUGCUGCUGCUUUCUCUGUUUUCCUCGGCCGGCCUCGGCCUCUUCGCGGCGGUUCAUUCUCAACCUUAACCAUGUUGUCAUCACCAAUGUGGUCCUUGGAAGGAUAGUUUCUUUCAGGGCAGCAUUUCACUACUUUAGUGUUGGCAGAACUUGUGAACAUUUUACUUGUGGAAGGAGAUGGUGUCUUUCGUGCUGCUUUCUUUGUUUUCCUCGGCCAGCCUCGUGGCGGCAGUUCAUUCAAGAUCUCAAUCGAAUCAUCAUCGCUGAUGUGAUCCACGGAAGGAUAGUCUAUUUCAAGGCAAGUCUUGUCAAAAAUGUGUACUUCAAUGUUAGAAGUUUGAUUGUACUCAAACCACAGCAAAUGGCCAUGAUCCAAAGAGUAAUAUGAAGCAAAUUCUUUCCAACCAUUUUCAAAUUGAAUCGCACCAUCAGACUCAGACCAAUCCAUCUUCCAUGCAGUGCCAUCUGGAAGCUUCAGAUACACUGGAUUUGGAACACCGCGACCAUAUUUCAUACUGAACGUUAUUGGUAUCAUCUGCAAUUCAAAUGAAAGUAUGAAACUAGUCUUAGUAAUAAGCAUAAAUGAAAAAAAAAACCUUACAAGGGAAAAAUCACAAAGAGAAAUGCAUGCAUUAAAUAAUAUUAUAAGUAAAGAGGAUAUGAAGUGAAGAAAAUGCUUACAAGCUUUCCAUCUUCAAGGCUAUGUCUGAGAACAAUUUUGAAGAAACGGAUCACAGAGGAAGCCAUGGAUGUGGUGGUGGAUGGUCUCUACUCUCAUGAAAGUAUAUAAGCACGUACUUAUAUACUUUCAUAGGGGAUUAAAAUUCUAGUGGUAGUUAAAAAUGGUUUUAUCCUUAAUGUAUCAAUAAGGCUCUUAAAUCUGGAAAAGAAUAAAAAAUUAUUUUAAAAGAAUUCUUAACCUCUCCAAUUUUUAUAAAUUUUAUUUGAUAAAUAAAAAAAAGUUUCUCUCAAAAUAGAAAGCACAAAUUUUGUACAUUAGUAUUCUAACAAAAAAAAAAAAAAUCCUACAAAUAUUGGAAUUAUAAUAGACAUAAAAUUAAUUAUAAUUAUUUUAUAUUUUAUUUAUCUUCAAUCUUUUUUAUGAUAUACUAUUUUAAUGCGUUCAUAGAUUCAUAGGCAAAUUACAAUUUUGAAUCAAAUCCAUGAAAAAUUCUGCCUCACUUUUUUAUCCUUAUACCAAACACAACCUUAUCUUUUACUUUGAGAAGAUAACAAUGCAAUCAUGAAGUGGCAGCAAAACAAAAAAUAAAAUUAAAACACUUAGUUCAUACAUAUAAAACUGGUCCACAACAGAAAGGAUUGGAUACAGUACAAGUUUGAUUCAACAGAAAAAAAAAGAUAAUACAUUCUUCACGAAAUUAACCUUACUUAAAAAUUAAGAGUUCUUAGUUCCUGAAGUUAUAAAACAUUGGCCUAGCACUGGGCUCUACAGAUAUGAACAUCAAACAGAUCUUUUUUAUUGAUGAGCUCAAAAACACAAACAUCUCCAGCUUCUAAUUUACUUGCUCUGGCAAAAGAGCUCCAACCAGCCGAAAUAAAGCUGUUUUUCGAUGACGGAUUGUAGAUAAUCGUAGCAGGCCACAACUCCUUUUCGAACUGUAAUUUUACAUCCUGUUGAUUCUUUUUAAAAUACUUUCUGUAAAAGAUAGCUGAUAAGUUCUGCAUCACAUUCCAUUUUGAAUCACCAUGGUCAAAAAUAAUUAUAAACUAAAAAAUUUGUGAAACUAAGUAUAAACUAGCACCCAGAAGUUUGCAUGGCAUAUUAUGUUUUGUCAUGGAUAAAAUGUAUCGAAAUAAACUUACAGGCCUUGAUCUCCUUGGAUCACUGUCUUUUAUCUUGACCAUGAAAGAGGGAUUUUGUGAGUUGAGCUCCUUAGCUUCUUUCGGGAGCUGAAUCACACGAGUCACUGGUUUGGAAAGUGAUUCUGAUACAUAAAAGAAUUGUAAAAAAAUUAGCAUGAAUUUUACUUGUGAAGAGUUUUGGAUACAAGUAUAUCUAUAGGGUUGGAGACAACAAAAAUUUUAGCAUAAGAUUAGUUUAUAUAACAAAUUGUGGUUACAUUAAGGACCAAAUACAUAGUCACUGCAUUCAUACUGCAUUCUUAGCAAAACUAACAAUAGUUUCCUUAAGAUUGAAAUUCUGCUGCUAUAAAUGUUUCAAGGAAGGGAAGAAUUAGAAAUUUGUAAAAUGUACUCCAAAUCAAACACGGGGUCAAUUAAUUUUUAAUAUAAUUUUUUUAAUGAGGAUAAUGCUAAAUUCUAUUCCAUUUUUAAAGUUAAUUAUGUAUUCAAUGUUGUACUAAUAUCUUAAUUUUUUACAGAAUAACACCGCUUAAGAAUCCUAAACAAUUGCCUUACCGCGGCGUUGUCGACGACAAAUGUGAACAUCAAACACCGGAUCCUUUCUAUUGAUGAGCUUAAACAAACAAACAUCUCCGGCUUGUAAUUUACUAGCUCGAGCAAAAAGGUUCCAACCAGCAGAGAUAAAGGCAACACAUGAUGAUGGCCUAUAGAUCAACUUAACAGGGAACAACUUCUUUCCAAACCUUAUAUUUGCAUUUUGUGGAUUAUUUUCAAAAUACUUUCUGAAGAAUUUAGUUGAAAAGUACUGCAGCA